CAAAUUGCAAUUAUCUUAUAAUUACAAUUCCAUUCCCUUAAGUUUAAUUAAUCUCUUUUAGUCACAAAACUAAUUACCAAUUAAUUCUUGACUAAUAUUAAUUAAACAAUAUGAUUUCUCCUUUAAUAUAUUAUUCUCAUAAUAUAUUAAUAAAUCAUAUUUAAUCCUUUCUCUCCAUAAUUCAUCCUAUCAAGUUGCUUUGGUGAAGGCAACCCAAAAAGACCAUGCACCAUCGGGUCAAGUACAUACCAAAAUAGUUAUGGACUUAGACACUAAUCCAACAGGAUGGUGGCGGCCGGUGGGAGACAUAAGGGUGGAGAGAUGGCGGCUGUAGCUUUAAUUAGGGUUAGGGUUUGAAGCGGGAGGGAUGAUGGGUUAUAUACCCCAAUCAACUAAACUUACUUCCAUAAUGACAAGUUUAGCCCCUCCCUCCAGAAAUCAUUUCGAAAUAAAUCCCAUAUUUACCAUUUAAACCCCUUAUUCAGAAAACCCUUACAAAUUAAGUCUGAAAUUUACCUUUUUAACCCCAGCCAUCAAAAAACCCCUGUCUUCUAACAAUCUUCACAAAAUGAUUCCCGGAACUUACACUUUUAACCCUCGAAUAAUCCAACUUAUAACAUUUGGCUCUCCAAAACCAACACCUUACUAAUUAUUAUGGAUUUCAGGGCUACUUAUUCAUUCAUAAUUUGUUUAUUUAUAUAUUUAAUAAAUGGGGUGUCACAAAAUACACGUCUAUUGUAUCGAAAAUGCAACAACAUAUCUUUCCAACAAAAAUCAUAUGUGAUUAAAAACACAUAAACACAUGUGAUUAAGUAUACGAGAACAACGUUUAAACCAAGAACGUGAAAGUACAUAUUGUCCACAUAAAUCAUAUGUGCGUGUAUAUAUAUAUAUAUAUAUAUAUACCAUAAGUGUGUUAGGUAUUAUCAACCAUUUAUCUUCUCAACAAUUUUACUUUGAAUUUUAUUAUAUAAUAUUAUCUGUUUAUCCUAACAUAAAAUAGAACUAAUCUAGUUCGUACAUAGCACGUUAUANACACACACACAUAUAAAUAUAUAUAUAUAUAUAUAUAUUCACAUGUGAUUAUAUGUAUUUAAUAACAUGUUAUUUAUGUGAUUAAAUACAUAUAACCACACAUAAAUUAUUUCAUUAUAUGCAUUUAAUCAAAAAUGGUGUUGGUGGUUUUCGGUAGUAGGUGGUGGAAAUGGUCGGUGGUGCUUGGUUGUGGAGGAGGUAAGGAGGGUAGAGGGGGUGACGGGUGGUUAUAUGUAUAUAAUCACAUAUGAUUUCUGUGGACAAGAUUCAUUUUCGUUUUCUUCAUUUAGUAGCUGUUCUUUAGCAACUUUAAUCAUAUGUUAUUAAAUACAUUUAGUCACAUGUGGUUAUAUGUAUCUAAACACAUACAAUUUAUAUGGACAAAAUCGAAUAUCGUCCAUAUAAAUAAUAUGUGAUUCAAUACAUAUAAUCACAAAUGAUUCGAUACAUAUAAUCACAUGUGAUUAUAUACACGAGAACAACUAUUGAAUCAAAAUUAGAAAAAACAAAUCUUUGUCCACAUUAAUCAUAUGUGAUUAAAUAUUAUAUAAUCAGAUAUGAUUAAAUACAUGAGAAAACUAUUGAAUGAAGAAUAUGAAAACAAAUAUUGUCUAUACAAAUCAUAUGUGAUUAGAUACAUGUAAUCAUAUGUGAUUAUAUGUAUUUAAUCACAUGUAAUUUAUGUGACUAAAUACAUAUAAUCACAUAUGAUUUAUGUGAUUAUAAAAUUUUAAUCACAUAUGGUCAUCAUGGUUGUAGUAGUUGGUGGUGGAGAAAGGGAUGUAUAGUAGUAGUGGUGGGUGGUGGGUGAUGAGGGUCAUAGGUGAUAAGUGGUUGGGUGGUGGUGGUUUGUGAAUGAUGGUAAGUAGUAGUGGUGGGUGAUGGUUGUACGGUUGGUGGGCAGUGGUUGGUGGUGUUGUUGAUGGGUAGGUGAUGGCGAUGGUGGUGAUGGUAGUGGCGGUGUGUGGUGAUGGUUGGUAGUGAUGGUGGUUGGUGAUGGUGAUGGUGGUGGUGGGUGGUGGUUGGUCGUGACAAAUGGUCGUUUUUGUAGGUGGUGGAUGUAUGGGGGUGGCGGGUGGUGGUGAUAGGUAGUGGAGGCGGGAUGAUGGUGAUGGGUGGUGGUGGUUAAUGGUGAUGGGUGUGGGUGGUGGUGGUGGGUGAUGGUGAUGGGUGGUGGAGGUGAGUGGUAGUGAUGGAUGGUGGUGGUGGUUUUGGUGAGUGGAUGUGGUAAUGAUGGAUAAGUUGUGGUUGGUAAUGGUGUCGGGUGGUGGUUGGUGAUGGUGACGGGUGGUGGUGGUGGGUGAUGGAGGUGGGUGGUGAUGGUGGGUGGUGGUAGGUGGUGAUGGUGGUGACGGAUGAUGGUUUUGGUGGGUGGGUAUGAUGGAGGCGGAUAGUGAUGGGUGGUGGUAGUGGGUGUGGUGGUGGGGGUGGUUAUUGGUGGUGAGUGGUAGGUAGUCGUGGUGGGUGGUGUUGGUUGGGUAGUGAGUGAUGUUGCUUAGUGGGUUUUUUAUUGUUUGUAACUAUUUUUGAUUUAUAUGAAUAUUAUUUUAUAAUUUCAAUUAAAAAAAAUUAUGUGGUCCAAAUUUGUUCUCAAAUUUUCUCGCAAUAAGAAAUGUUUUCNNNNNNNNNNNNNNNNNNNNUAUAUAUAAGUAUAUUAUAUAUUUCCAUAUUCUAAUAAAAGAAUAAGUUUAUUCUCUUUUUAUCAUGUGUCAUACUAUUAGGCAUUCACAUGUCAAUGCAUUCAUUCUCCAUCUCAAAUUUCAAAUUUUAAAAUUUUGCACUCUAAUUACGUUAAAUUAACAACAUUAGAAUAAAAAAAUUAAAAUAAAUUAAUACAAAUUAUAAGGUGAUAUAAUUUCAUGUACUUAUUUAAAUCAAUUAUUAUAAUUUUGUAUAACUAAAACAAUAUCUCUUAAUUAAUAAUUUAUUUAAAAUAAUUGCUUAAUAAUUUCGAGUUUUACUAUGAAAUUUUAAUUAAUUUUGUAACCGUUGUUCUCACGGGUUAUAAACUCGUAUAUAAUAAUUCUCCGCUUCAAUAUUUGCGAAACUUAUAGAGUUAAUGAUGUGCUAGUUCAUAAAAUAUUUUAGCCGUUUUUUGCUCAUUCAAAAUCGGGAAAUGGAAAAGCUCAACUUCGUCAACAAUGGUGGUCUGUAAUUACCUUUAGGGUUUCGAUUAUUCCUAAUUUAUUAAGAGCUUGUUUAACUCUUCUCUAAUGGCAAGGUGCAAUCACACCUUGUGGCUUCCCCGUCAAAACUGAAUUUGAUGUUUGUGGGUUGAUCCAUAGGAUUAAACAAGUUUGUGACUGUUUUUCAUGCUAUUAUCUGUUAAAUUCUAUCAAACAAGUGUAAUGUAAAGUGAGUUUUGUUGAUGCCCAAAAACCGUUUGUAGAUGAAAUAGUAAGACAUUGGUGUGGGUAUGGGCACAACCAUUGAGGGAUGUUGUGCUGCCAUAUCAUCUUCUUCUUGAAGGAAACAACGUAUGACAAGGAGGAAGAAAUAGAGAAACAUGUUGAGGUGAAGAAAAUAGAAGAAGAAAAGGAGAAGGAUAGCCUAAACAUGCGUGGUGGUGGUAACGGGAAGCAACGAAAAACAUAAGGGGCGGUGUAGCCGCUGUGGUAACGCCGUUACCGGCCGGCUACGUCGACAAAAACGCCCAUGGCGUUGUUCACACUUUAUACUCGAAAAACUAGGUCGGUUAGAUAAAAACGACUUGAACCAGAUCAAACCACUUUUCAAAAAACAUAUUUCACAGGCCCUAGUUAUAAAAACCAAAAAGAUCCACUUUUUUAUUUCUUCAAAUAAUGGACGUGGGACUAUGACCACUCUUGAUAAUUGCACCAAAAUGAUGAUAGUAACCCAUGUCUUUUUCAUUCCUAAAAAAACACAUUUAAUUUGUUUUAAAAAAAAUAUUAUUUUUUUAUUCUUAUUCAUAUUGUGAUUAUAUGAUUGUAUCAAAUCUAAAGUAAAAAAAAUAUAACUUUAAUUUUUAAAUAAAAAUAAUAUAUUUUUUUUGUGAAAUUAUCCUUCUUUUUUAAAGUAUGUAUCAAAUAUAUAAAUGAUUAAUGUUAGAAAGAAGAGAAAUCUGCAAAAAAAAAAAAAAAAAAAAAAAAAAAAAAAAAAAAAAAAAAACUUUAUUUUUUUUNNNNNNNNNNNNNAAAAAAAAAAAAAAAAAAAAAAAAAAAAAAAAAAACCUUGAAUUUGGUUCUAUUAAUAUAAAAGUCUUUCCUGAUUUUUUUUUGCAAUUAAUCUCAAAAAAACUAGUAAACACUUGCAAAAUAACUCUUGUAUCCGGUUAAUGCUGGUUUCCAAUGCCAAAUUGUAAAUAAACAACAAGAUAUGAAUUUUUUGUUAAUAAGGUUAAAGUUUAAAGACUUUUCUGGAGAUUUUUCUUUUUAUAUAUAAUAAAUAAUUUGAAGAAAACUCAUUUUAUUUAUUAAAAAACUCAAAUAAGGAAACAAUCUACAUCAUUUUCACUAAAAAGUUCAUUUUUAUUCAUUAAAAAACACAAUAAUGAUAAUUUAUUUAUCAUUUUUGAGUUUUUUUUUAUUCUCUUCAAUAAAUAUCAUAACUAAUAUUAUAAAUUCCUUGCAACUAUUUAACACUGUGAGCAUUUAAGUUAUAUGUUGUAGAGCAACUUGAACUUAAUUUGGUCACUUUUAAAAAAAUAUAAUUUUUUUUUGUCUACUAAGAAUUAUUACAAGGUCUAAAUGUUAGGAAUCCACUUGUUUUUUACACCUAAGCCCUAAAUAGUCAAACAAUGAAAGUGGCAUGUGGCCUAUAAAUGCGCUCCAUACGACUAAUCAACAAAGUCCUCUUAAAUUAUAUAUGAUGACUACAAUCAUAAAGAUAUAAUUUAAGAGGACUUUGUUGAUUUAUUGUAUGAAGCGUGUUUCUAGACCACAUGCUCUCUUUAUUGUUGAAUUUUCAGGUCUUGGGUGUAAAAAUGGUGACUUAUGUGUAUAGAAUGGCAAUCAAGGGAGUUUUCAUUUUUUUAAAGUGAUCAAAUUAGGUUCAAGUUGCUCUACAAUAGUUAUAAAAAUACAUGCUAAAUACAAUUAAUAGAACUUUUGUUGAUUUGUUGUAAGAAGUGUGUUUCUAAGUCACAUUUUGUGUAUAAUAAAACUCUAUUUGGGAAUAAUAGCCUCUGCUAAGCCUUUAUUUUUUGAGGUGUCAUUCGAUUGUGAGAGACUCUUUGGUAAACUGCAGUUUUAUGGUAAAAGUUUUACAUCCAAGACCUGAAAAUUUAAUAAUGAAGUAGCAUGUGGUUUAGGAUAUAGAUGGUUAUCUUUAUAAUUUUAGUUAUGAUAUUUAUUGAAAAGAAUCACAAAAACAAAUCCAAAAACGGUAUACAAAUUAUCGGCAUUGUGUUUUUUAAUAAAUAAAUAUGAGUUUUCUUCAAAUUAAUUUAGUAUAUAUAUAAAAANAAACUUUAACUCUUUUAAAGAAAAAGUCAAUCACUGUUUAUUUACAAUUUGUCCCUGAAAACCAGCAUUAACAUGGAAUAUGAGUUAUUUUACAAGUAUUUACUUUGUUUUUUAGGCUUAAUUGUAAAAAGAACAAAAAAAUAAUAAUAAAAUAUUCAAGGAUGACUUUUGUGUUAAUUAAGUCAUACUUUAGGGCUUUUUUCCCUAGAAAGAAAGGUGUCUAGCAAGAUAGAAAACAAGUUGAAAAAGAUACAUGUAUAUAUUGUCAUUAUCAUUUUUUAUGAUAUACAGAAUUUAAAAAUUGCAUCCAAACCAUGAUAGUAACCCAUGUCUUUUUUUCAUUCCUAAAAAAACACAUUUAACCUGUUUUAAACAAAAAUUAUUUUUUAUUCUUGAGCAAAUAUAUGAUUAUAUCCCAUCUAAACUAAUCAUAUUUUGAUAUCAAACCUAAAGUAAUCAUAUUUUGAUUUUAAUUUAUAAAUAGCAUUAAUCUAAAAUAUUUGAUUUUGUGAAAUUAUUUGUUUUCUGGAAGUAUUUAUCGAAUUUUAAAAUGAUUAAUGUUAGAGAGGAGGAGUCAUGCGGGAUAGACGAUUGAUGAAAGUAGGGGUGAACAUUUGGAUCGGUGAACCGGACCGGACCAGACCAUACCGUUUUUUUGGACCCCUGGGUCGGUUCUCGGUUUUAGGAUUUCAGCAAAACCGGUUCGGUUUUUUUACUGGUCCAGUUUGGCCAGUUCCAGGUAAAAACUAGUUUUGAACUAGCUUAUUUUUUGAAAAAAAUUGUAUUUUAUAAAAUUAUUUAAACAAGCAUAUCUCAUUCGUUUUAUAUCUGAUUGACAUGAAGUUUUUUCUAACGUGUAAUUUAGAGUUUGUAGAUAAUUUUAGACUAUAAUUUUGUUGUUUUUGGUGUUAUAUUUGAUGAGUUAUAAUACUUCAAAUAUGAGAUAUCAAAGCUGAAAUAUUUUAGGAAUUAUGUGAAACUCUUUAAAUAAGCAUACCUCAUUUGUUUUUAAGUCGGAUUAACAUGUGGUUUUUUCUAACGUGUAAUUUAGAGUUUGUAGAUGAUAUUAGACUAUAAUUUUGUUGUUUUUGGUAUUAUAUUCGAUGAGUUACAAUAUUUCAAAGACGAGGACUCAAAACUGAAAUAUUUCAACUUUUCAGCAAGAAAUUUAAAUUUUUCAGUUUUUCAACAAUUAUAUCUCAUUCGUUUGAAGUCGUAUUGAUAUGCAGUCUUUUCUAAUGUGUAAUUUAGAGUUUGCAGAUGAUUUUAGACUAUAAUUUUGUUGUUUUUGGUGUUAUAUUCAAUGAGUUACAAUCCUUCAAAUAUGAGAUAUCAAAGCUGGAGUAUUUUAGCUUUUCAACAAGAAAUUUAAAUAUUUUCAUUCUAUGAAAAUUUUUAAACAAACAUAUCUCAUUCAUUUUAAGUUGGAUUGAGAUUUGUUUUUUCCAACAUGUAAUUUAGAGUUUGUAGAUAAUUUUAUACUAUAACUUUUUUGUCUUUGAUGUUAUAUUCAAUGAGUUACAAUCCUUCAAGCAAAUGGUAUAAAAUAUAAAUAAUCAAAGUUUGACCGGUCCAAAGGACAAAAUAAACGAAAACGUAUUCCUUUUUACGAGUUAUAUCGUAUCAAACCCAAAAAAGUAUUCAUUUUAACGAGUUAUAACGUAUCAAACCAAACAAUAUAUUCGUUUUAACGAGUUGUAUCAAACCCAAAAACGCAUUUUUACAAGUUGUACCAUAUGCUUAUAAAAUUGUACUGAUCCAAAUGGGUCCAAGAACCGGAAAACCCGAACCUGGACUCGGACAUGGACCUGGACCCGGUAAGUCUCAUCCGGUCCGGUCCACGGUCCAUAAUAUGAUCCAAAACCGGUCCGGUCCAAGAGUCGGUCCGGUUCAAAUGCUCACCCUAGAUAAAGGUACCAACAUAUCACAUAUUUUCAUUAUUAUUUUCGUGCUUUUAAAAAUCAUAUGCAUUUCACUAUAAAAGAAUAAUAUAUUCUUUGUUUCAUGAAAAUUUGUAUUCUCAUUUCCAUGAUUACAUUCCAGCCCUAUUGAGCAACCAAACCUAAUCGGACACAAAGAUAUUUAAAUGGGACAACAUUAAAAGGAAGAUAUAUUAAAUGAGACAACAUUAAAAUGAACAUUGAUACUGUUUUUUUAUUAGGGCAUUAUAUUUUGAAAAAUUAUCCAAUUAUAGCAAUGAAAAAUCCUUCUUGUUUUUUAUGACAUUGCUAUAAUAGAUUUUUCAAAAACAUAAUGCUUCAAUAGGAACAAAAGGAAGUAAGAUGCUAUAAAAAACAUGAAAGUACGUUGUUAUUUCAUGUUUUCUUUCUUAUUAAAGAAACGAAAGAAGAAAAUUGUGCACCUCAUACUCUCGGUUUUUCUUUUCUUUCUACUUAUGCUCUUCAGCUCCUUCAUCACUCAUGACCUUCCUUUUAGAACCAUGUUCGAAUCAUAUCAUGUGCAUUUGUUUAUUAUAAUAUCCUACUUCAGUUUUUUCAAAUACAACAUAGUAUUCUUUUUCUUAUUAAGGCAUUAUACUUUGAAAGUAAUUGCAAUUGUUAGAGAUUAUACCCCAAAUAUUUGAUAUUGCUACCAAUAAGUACUAACUUACAGGUAACUCAUCGACAACAAGAAAGUUGUCCAAGUAAUUUACAAAAAGACAUUCACAUAAUGGUCCAAAGUUGAAUUGAGCAUGAAUCCGAGUCAAGAUAAGUCAAAAUAUACAACAUCAAGAUUCAAGGAUACCAAAAUCGAUUAAAAAAAAAUGGUAUUUCUUUUUAGAAAAAACAAAUAAGCAAGAAAAAAUCAAACCUAAAUUAACAAAAAAAAAAUCUUGAAAAAGGAUCAACCAAACCUUUGAAAUCCAAUCAACAACCUCUUUUCUUGCAACAAAAUAUAGGUUUUGAUUCUUCAAAAUAUUCAAAUAAUCAACAACACCCACACAUUGUUCAAUUUCUUUCACAAUCAACAAAGCCAAACACUCGUAAUUUUUGCACAGGCAAAUCAGGAACAAAGUACUUUACUCUAUUUUAGGAUUCUUAAUCAAACUUCGUUCAAUUCUUCAUUUCGAUUAUUGUUCCAACAAAAAACAAGAGUAAUAAUUUAUCAAAUGUUACAAUCUUUUUUUUGAAUUGUAUGAAUACAAUUGGUAAUAUAUAAGCUUAGUUAUCACAGUACAACGAGUGAGAAGACAAACGGGCAACAAACUGUGCCGUUAAGUGUUUUUUUAUGAUAAAUCCAGUUCUUUUAAAGACAACAACCAUAGAUCUAGGAGAUAUAACAUUGUUAUGCAUUGUUAUGCAUGAACCGUUACAAUUAAUAUGAAUAUAGAGCAAAAGAAAUUGUUCUUAGAAUAAAGUUUAAAACUUACAAUCCAUCAUUGAAUACACAAAACAUAAUCACAUUGCAAGUUCAUUCCAUUCCUAGAAGAAUUGAUAACAAAGAAAGCAAAAUCAGAUGCAGUCAGAGUUUCAUUUUAUUGCAUAAAGUGGGAACAAUUAAGAUAAAUACAAAAUAAAACUUAUGGAACAGAGUGAGUAAUUCGUAAAGUAUGUUUAUAGUGAUAUUAACAGCUGCCUCAAAUGCAACAAGGACAAAAAGGAAAUAUUAGAGUUACAUCUAUGCUUUUAUGUUUAGAAACCUACUCCCUAUUUACUCAUCGAACAACUGAGUAAUUUCAUGAUAUUAGUAGCAUAUUGAACUAAGAAAGAUUUGCAGUAGAGUUAUUAUGCUAAACCUUAAAUUGAGUUGGAAAUUGACUGUGAACCAGAAAGUGUUUCACAUAGAUAGAGAGGAGACGAGAAAAGAAAGUAACGAUGUAGGAGAUGCCCAUGGCGUUGUCGAUGGAGAAGUGCAGCAAUCGAUUGCAGUGGAUUGAAUACGUUUAUGUGAAAUGUACCGUUUACCCUGCACAAAAUAGGUCCUUAUUAAAGUUUAUGUGUUGCAGUAAAUUUUACAAAAUAGGUCCGUGUCCAGAAUUCUUUUUAACAUAAAUGGUCCAUAAACAAUUAUAAAAUAGCCCAUGUGACACAAGAAGGCCAAUUACGUUGUUUUCUUAUUUGAUGGAUAAAAAAAAGUUAAAUGAAGGUGGCAGGGGCGGAAUCGUCUUUUGAAGGUAAUUUGGUUUUAGGGUGUUUGCAAGGGUGGUUUUUCCUAGGUGCCACACUGGCAACACCUAUUUCUCGCGUACGCAGUGAAACAAAUUUUAAUUUCCGUUCUUUUUUACAAAUUUUUCUUUCACCGACUACAUCUAUUUCAGUCUCGGCAACACCUAGUAUGUAUUCCCGCGUCCGCCCUUUAGUGUUUGUUGUGCCGACUCAAAUGACCUUGAGGAAUGCAUACUGAUAUUUUUCGAAAAAAAGGUUUAUCCUUUUUCAAGUAUUCAAUUGUGAAAUGGUAACUUCUUGAAGAAAAACAUCUGUAUAAAAAUAAAAAGAAUGUGAAAAAAAAGAAAGAAAUUGUUAUGUGUUUAAGGAAAUCUCCAUUAAAGUUUUAUUAUUUUACUAUAAUUUACGAAUAAAUCUCACACGAAAUUUUGUUUGCGGAAAAAGUGACGAUUUGACCAUUUUUAUGAGUUUAUCAGUUUCAUACAUGGAUGCUUAGUCAUUAAAUGAACUGCAAAAAUCUUCAUUUAAGUCUCAUUAUUUUACCUUAAUUUACAAGUAAGUCUCAAACUAAAUUUUGUUUACGAUUUAGUCAUGUUCUCCUUGUAACAUACAUUUUACAGAUUUCAUGGUUGACCUGGAUGCAUAGUUAUUAAAUAAGUUGAUGCCUAGUUAUUUAAUAAGCUGAUAAGAUGGAUAUGUUAGGUUAUAUAAUGUUACAUUUACUGUAAAACUUGAUAUCUUGUCGCGUUAUACAUUAUUUGGGAUAUGAAAUGCAUCCAACUAAGACUAUAAUAAUUACAUAAACUAGCAACAAAUUCAUCACUUUUGAGGUUUAUAAAAACUUGCAAAUUGCCUAUCUAAUUUUACAUAAUUCAUCAUAUCCAUCUCAUCAACUCAUUUCCCGUCCUUUUUCUUGGUAACACAUAUUCUACCGAUUUCAUUGCUGACUUGCAUGCUUAGUCAUUAAAUGAAUUGAUGAGAUGGAUAUCAAAUUUUACGGUAAACAUAACAUUAUAUAAACCAUCAUAUCCAUCUCAUCAUCUCAUUUAAUGGUUUGUCCAAGUGAGCAAUGUAAGCGGUAAAAUGUGUGUUAUAAGGAGAAAAUUGGCCAAAAUGUAAACAAAUUUUAGUUUGAGAUUUAUUCGUAAAUUAGGGUAAGAUAAUAGGACUUUAAUGAAGAUUUCUCUAGCUCGUUUAAAGACUUGCAUCCACUUCAAUGAAACUGGUAAACCGGAAAAAAAUGGCCAAAUCGUCACUUUUACCGGUAAUACAUGUUUUUUCGUAAACAAAUUUUACUUUGGGACUUAUACGUAAAUUAGGGUGAAAUAAUGGGACUUUAAUGAAGAUUUCCCUAGCUCAUUUAAAGACUUGCAUCCACUUCAAUGAAACUGGUAAACCAGGGAAAAAUGGCCAAAUCGUCACUUUUGCCGGUAAUACAUGCGUUUUCUAAAACAAAUUUUACUUUGGGACUUAUUCGUAAAUUAGGGUAAAAUAAUGAAACUUUAAUGGAGAUUUUCGUGUGUAUUUAUAUUGAUUGAUUUCAAAUAGGGAGAUUGCAUUUAUGGUAAGGAAGUUUUCAUCAUUUCAAAGAGGUUUUGAGGCCAAAAUAUGAGUUUUUCUUACACAUUAUGCAAAAGCCAUUAAAAAGGUGGUUGAUUAUCCAAGAUAUUUUUGCUACUCAUUGGAGAAGAAGGUACAUACAGGAUUUUGGGUAAUCAAGGGUAGAAAUUGUGAGUGUAGCCCAAAAGACGUGUUAGGUAAGAAUGUUGAAGUGUUUGCAGCUGAUUACAUUAGUCUUCUCCCUCCUUCAUGAAUAUAGGUAAGAAUGUUGAAGUGUUUGCAGCUGAUUACAUUAGUCUACUCCCUCAUUCAUGAAUAGAAGCUUGAUCUUCUUCGUUAUGGUUUAUAAUUUUGCCAAAUUUGGCAAAACAGGGCACUCAAACUACAAAAGUCUAUGGAAAAAAAUUAAUUGUCUACUCUUGAGCACAAGUACAAUUGGUAUAUGGUAGGGUGUAGCACCAAUGAUUAAUGAUGAUUUUGCCCUUGGGAGUUAACUAAUAGCAGCAGGGUAUGUCUCUAAAAUAGGACAUGUACAGACAUAUGUGGAUAUUGAAACAAAGAGGGUGUUACUUAACUGAACUUAUACUCCAACACAUCUUGUUCCCUUAAAUAUUCAUGCUAUUUUCCAUUUCUGUUUAUUUUAGCAUUGUAAUUUAAUUUCUCUUUAUACAGUGUUGACUCAAAUGACCUUGAUGUUGACUCACAUUCGCAUGCUUCUUCUAAUUCUCUGUUUUCUUCAAAAAUAGAGUCUAGAAAAGAAUGUGGAGAUACAAAACAAUCCAACCUCUUAAACUUGGAACACCACCUAUAUACACAUACACACAUAAGAACCAAGUUUAUUUUUUGCUUGAGUUAACAUCAGGGUUUUGUUGUUAUUGACUUGCGAAGUAUGUUUUUUUUUUCAUUUACUCUUUCUACACACACAUACAAUAAAGUAAAAAUGCUAUAAUAUAAAGCGAAAAUAAUACAAAUGUCCUACAAACUUUCUAGGGUUUACCCGUUGAGUCUCUAAAGUUUUUGUCGGACUUUAUAGGUCCCUAAACUAGGAUAUGACCUGCUUUUUUAGUCCCUGUCAACCUAUAAUAACCUGUUCAGUGACAUUUUAGACAAAAAAAAAAAAAGAAAAAAAGAAAAAAAACCUCACAUUAUGCCUCUAUAAAGCCAAAAGAUAAGUUCGGGGAUCAAUUUGUACAAAAAAAGCUCCUUUUCUUCUGAAGCCGAUUCACACUCAAUUCAUAUUGAUCCCGGAACUUAUUUUUUUGGUUUUAUAGGGGCACAAUGUGAGUUUUUUCGGUCUAAAAGGUCACUAAACCGGCUAUUACAGGUUGACAGGAACUAAAAAAGUAGGUAAUAUCCUAGUUUAGGGACCCAUAAAGUCCGACAAAAACUUUAGGGACUCAAUGGGUAAACCCUAAAAGGUUCGUAGGACAUUUGUGUCAUUUUCCCUAAUAUAAAUAAUAAAUGGAAGUAGAUUGCUAUUUAUUGCAUACAACCAUAUAAUCGGUGCAAUAUACUUUUAUUUAUAUGUUUAUUAAAUCAUUGUAGUUUCAUAAAUGUGUUUCAGGUUGGACAAAAUUUAUGUUGAUACAGAUUUGGUAACCAUAAAACUUACAUCAUUCAAGUAACAAAAUCACAACAAAAGUUUCAACAUCCGAAUUUUUUAAAAGAUAUUUGAGCAAAUAUGAUAAAGUUAUCAUUUAACACAUCGACUGUUUCCUUGACUUCUCAAUCUUAGUAUCCAAUCCAUAAUGUAAAACACUAUAACGUAUUGUCAAAAAUCCAAGAAAUAGAAAAAUGAAACUAAAAACCAUUGAACAAAUAAGAUAGAGUAAUAUAUAGGCACAAUACAACAAGAUAACGGAGUAGACGUUUACAAAAGGCCAAUACACAACAAUUACAACAGAAUAUAACAUACCAACAAUCUCAAUAACGAAAAGUUUAAAACAACCAAUACACUUAUAAUUUGAACACAUGAAUAUCUCAUUUUCUAGUCAAUGAAAUGACUACGUUAAGGUGUCUGAUUUUUUUGUUUGCUAGAUCUUCGGCCACUUUCAUUGUCAACUUCUGAAAUAGCACAUCAAUAUUUAAUAAAUUUCCGAAAUGAGAUGUCAACAACGAUUCAUAAACAGUUCUCAGAGCAGUUGUGCAGUUUUUAGCAUGGAUGUGGCUCUUCUCAUCUGAAUCUUUCACAUUUGUAAAGUCUGUAUCCCUUGGAUCCCAGUUACCUUGAAAAACAUUAUAGGUAUUAAUAGAAAAUGAUCCCUCAUUGUGAACAGCUUUACUGACUUCAUCCUCGCAUGGAGUAUAAUUUGGGAUAUUGAAUGAGUGCAAAUCUGAUUCUUGAACUAGUCCCUAUAAUUUUUAAAAACAUAUAUGGUUACUUACGUACACAAAACAAAAUUUUCAAGUGAAGAACCUUAUAUAUAUAUAUAUAUAUAUAUNNNNNNNNNNNNNNNNNNNNNNNNNNNNNNNNNNNNNNNNNNNNNNNNNNNNNNNAUAUAUAUAUAUAUACCUCUUUAACCAUAUCGAGUAGUGAUUGUGAUAGUAGCUCAAGAAUACGACCACCAUUUUCAGUGGUGGUUGGAUCAACACUGCUACGACCAAGAAAUGUUAAAACCAUGCACCCACCAUGCACUACUUCCUUGGAUCGCAUUUGUAGAAACUUUAUAAAGUCGGUUUGAAAUUGCUUUUCAUAUGCUUCAAACACAUUGGGAGGACUUGGUGUCGCCAUGUAUAUAUUAUCUUUGUUGUUUUCAAUGCCUUCAGGUAUCUAUAAAAUGUCCAAGUGAUCACUAUGAAUAAUUAAUUUGAAUAAAAGAUAGUUUGAACAAUAUUUAACUAUAUGUAUAUUUUUUCACAUAUUGAUUUUGCAAAUAUGUAUAUUCAAACCUGAGAAAGCCAAUGAACAGCCCAAGAGGAGUGAACAAGGUGUACGCUUUCAUCUGGAAAGAGUCUACCAUAAAAGGAACCCGGAUUAGCUGAAACGAAACAAGAGCCAAUGUUUUCUCCCUUCUCCUUCUUAAGGUUUGCAUAAAAGUUGGGUAGCAAUUGGAAAAUGGAAUUGAAAUCAUUUCCAAAAAGAUCAUUUAAGCAGAUUUGAAAUUGUGGUGCUUUAUGAUCAUUUUCUUUACGCAGCUCAAGGACUAUAUCAAUAACCAUAGAUGCAAGCAAAAGUGUAUUUGUGCCAGGCCCGCAUCCUAUAUCUGCUAGUACGAAGCUUUUGCUGAAGGCCGCUUCAGUUUUAACCAUUCCCUUGAUUGUAUCUUGCAAAACAGUCUCACUUUUCCUUAUCACACUUUCCUGAAAAAUAAUUUGAUUCCAAUUUACAAAUUUAAAGACGCACUUGAUAUAUAUAUGAUUGUAUGUGUAUUUAAUGAGAUCGAGUACGUGUAAGAGAGACCUGAAUCAAUGAGUUGCUUGCGUAGCUUGAUUCUCCAUGGCCAACAUUCAUGCGUAGUGUCUUUUCUACUUCCAUGACUAGAUAUAUAUGUUUCCUUUGCCUUAAUUUGUUCUGAUGUUAGCGGCCUUCAUUUAUAGGCUUCCACAAGUGAUCUGUUUAUCUCAAACUCUUUUCAUUUAUCUUUAAUUAUUACUAUUUUUCGAUUAUGAUAGUUUCUAGUGAUAACCUAUGAAAUUGAAUAUUAUUUAAUUAUAUUUUACUGAAGUAUUCUAAAAUGGAAUUGACUAUUGGCAACCCAAAGACUUUUGGAUAAUGAUAUUAGUAGUUUUAUAUAUUGCUGUACAUGUGCCUAAGUUUCCAUGCAUCCGCCAAUCAGAAUUCAGGUGAUCAAGAUACUAUAAGAGAACGAGUCCAUUAAAAACUAAACGUUUUAGUUGCCAUUGUGGAACGGUCUUCCUUCAUUGUAUGAAUAGAGAUUAUAAUAUGAGGAUUUAACGUUUACCAAAAACCACAAAGACCCACUUUUUUAUUUGGUAUUGUUAUUGUUAUUUGAACGAAUAACCGAAUAAGUCGUGGUAAAAUCUUGAAUAUUUUGUUUUCAUUUGACAACCGUUGGAUUGAAUUGUGUUUUUUAUUUGACAACCAUAGGACUUUGUAGCCAUCGUAAUGUCAAUGUCUUUCAAAUUUCAACUGUAUCACAUUAAUUUUUACAACCAUCUCUAUAUCAAUCAAUGCAAUAUCAAUUCUUUUUAAAAAAAGAGCACAUCCUCACAUCAAUAAUUACUUUAUAUAUUUUAACAAAUACCUUAUCUAUUUAUAAAUAAUAAUUAUUCAAAUAUGAUUAUUUAAAAAUAAAUUUAUACAUAGAAUAUGAUUGUGAGGCUCUGAGGAGUGGUGCCAAGUGCACCAGCUCUUCCUCAGCUCCGGCUAAGAAAAGAAGAACCAAAGAAGAGAGGAAGAUAUGGUUGUCGAGUAGGGGAGUAGGAAGGAGGGAAGAAGGGAGGAAGAAGAAACAAACUCGACGAUAUUCCACCUCAGCAUGCCGAGUGGUACGGUCCAAGUAAUUGGGAGAGAAUGAAUAAAUUCCUUUUCUGGAAGGAUCAUCCUUCCUGAAUGCAACAUACAACUCUACGUUGUACUGCACUCUCCAAGUGUGCCUGUCCCCCUCUUCUUCCUUAUCAUGGCAAGUUUUUGUGAAAUAACUCCGAUAAGAAGAAAAAGAAGACGUUAAGAGACCCUCCUGGUCCAACCCUAGACACUCAGUUAAAGAUGAUAUUUGACGUAAAAUUCAAUAGGGUGUGUAAUUGUAUUUAUACAGCAACAUUACAGGGAUAAGAAGUAGAUCCUAAAUACAUGGAUCUAUAGUUACAACAAACAUUCAAAUAAUCCUAUCUCUAAGCUAAGCUAUUCGUUUGCAUUCCCCAUCAAUCUUAACCGCUACAAGGUUUAGACUGUGUCUUAGAUGCUGUAACAUUUGUUUGGUCAUCGGCUUUGUGAGUCUAUCAGCUAAUUUGUCACCAGAAGAGAUGAAUCUAACAUUAAGUGCACCCAUGACUACCUUUUCUCUUACAAAAUGGAAGCCCACCUCUAUAUGCUUCGUUUGAGCAUGAAAUAUGGGAUUUGUUGUUAGGUAAGUCGCUCCAAGAUUGUCACACCACAACAAAGGUGGUCUUGGUUAAUGAACUCCUAGUUCCUUCGGUAAUGAAUGUAUCAAUGUAGCUUCUGCAGUACCAUUGACAAGUGCCUUAUAUGCAGCUUCGGUACUAGAUCUAGCAACUGUUGGUUGUUUGCGAGAACUCCAUGAUAUUAAGUUUGGACCAAGAAAUAUUGCAUAACCACAUGUGGAUCAUUGAUAAUCUAUACAUCUUGCCAGAGAUAGAAAAACCUAAGUACGAGACAAAAAAACACAUAACACUACAAAGUUGCAAACAUAAAAAACACAUGAUGCUAAAAAUCUUGAAAAAAAAACAAAAACAUGUAUUUAGAAUGUAACAUGACAAAAAAUCCAAUAUUACAGGAAAGUAUAUGAAAUGAACUAAAUUAACAUGUAUUUAGAUUAUCCAAAUUAUUUUGAACAAUGUUUCUUCAAAAAUAUACUUAUUGUUGUUUCAUACCUACAUAGAAAGUUUAAUGAAAUUUUUUUUAAUUGUAAUUAUGCAAUUUGAUUCUAACAUAUAAGAACGACCACAUAGAAAAUUUAGGAAUCAAAUGAAAAUUUUGUCUAUAAUACCGUAAAUCUUAUAUUUAAGGAAAUAAGAUCAUUCUUAAUUUAGAUUCUAAAUUGUUAGCCUACUUUUGAUGUAGUUCAGGUAGUAAUAUGUAGGCAAGAAUGUUGAUAUUAUGUGUUGUAUAUUAUUGUUAUUGAUAAAAAACUAAGUUGUAGUUUAAAUUAAAAGUUCUUUUUUCAUGGUAAGCAUGUUGCUAUAAUUUGUAAAAAAAAAAUAACAUAGCUAUUGCAGUUUAUAGAAGUUGUUGAAGAUCGAGUACAAGAUAUUAGGUUAAGAAUUUAAUAUGAAAAAUUAUACAUUGUUGUUUUGUUUGACUUAAUGAUGUAAUAUGUUAAGCCAAAAAAAACCUUAUGCAAUGUUUUAUGAGAUUUCAAAAAUAGAAACAUAUCUUUCUUAGUCAUAGAAAACAAUAUUUGAAAGGUUGUAUUUACUAUACAAAAACAUAUACAAAUUAGAAUAAUUAUAGUUUAACCCUUUUUGGAUUAAAUUGUUUAUAAAAUCCAUCACCUUAAUAGUGAAUAAAAAAUAAAUUAAAAGACAUUUACAACACGAAAAAAUCACAGCGGGUUACUAUUAAAAAUGUUAUAACAAUGUACUUUACACAUACAUUCCUAAAAAUGGUUUAAUAUGAAAUUAUUAUAUUCGACAAUAAAGUCAUAAACAGUAACCAAGUUGAGAUAGUCAAACAAACAUAAAUAGUAACAACGGCCAAUUUGAUCCAUUUUUAAAUUAAAUUACCAAUUUAUCCUUCUGAUGAACAUAGUUCAUCCUAAAUUAAUGAUUUAGCCUUCAGAUAAAAAAUGGAAGUAUCAUGCUAAAAAAUCAUUUUAGUAUACGUGUCGUAUCAAUAUCUAUUGUUGAAUUUCUUUUCCAGCCCAAUGUUUUUCUAGUUUCCUAAGUCAAAUUACUCUUUUACCCUUAUGUGUCCUUACUUAAAAGUUUCUUGCAUCUAAUUUGCAAUCAAAUUAAAAUAAAUCACAUAAAUUUAGGAGUUUAAUGAUACCUUCAAAAGGUAAAUUUGAAUCUUCCUUCUUUAUUCUAUCACAAAUAAAAUUGCCUUUUUGCCCUAAACCUUAAAAUCGUACUUAACAUUUUAAAAAAUUCAUCUAACAAUAUCAAUAACCUUUAGUUAUGAUUUCAAUUUAAAGUUAUAAAUGUUGUAAUUCAACCAUCAUAUUAGGAUAUUAAUUUACAUUUAAACACUAAAAAAUAUCUCUUUAUUCCUAUUAUAUAUUUAUCUUAACAAAUUAUUUAAGUUCUAUAUCAAGAUUGCAAUCCCUGUAAUUCAGCCAACAAUUUAAGAUAUUAUAUAAAAUCAAAAUCAAUAACCAGGUUGAGAUAAUCAAACAAACAUAAAUAGUAGCGGCUUACGAUUUGAUCAAUGCUUAAAUUAAAUUACUAAUUUACAAUUUUGAUGAACAUUAUACAUACUAAAUUAAUGAUUUACCCUUCAGAUAAAAAAAUGGAAGUAUCAUGCUAAACAAAUACACAAAAAAUUGAUUACCAUGAAUAGGAAAAUGGGUAGGGUGCAUUUUGAUGGGUUUUGGUCAUAAGACAUCCUAUGUGCUCAUACAAACCCUAAUGCUUGGAUCUAGGUUUCUCUAUUGUACAUGCUUUGAAUCCAAGACUAUAAACCCUAAUUCUAGCAUAUGGAAAUCGAUAUUAACAUAUAAUUAGGUUUAUGAUAUUACCUUGAUUGUUAUGUAGCAAUAACAAUCCCAAUUCCUCCUUGAAUUGACUUUGGAAGGCUUAGAGUCACAAGUGUCACUCCUCUAAUGGUUCACAAACACCAUAAGCAAGAGGAUGAAGAGGAGAGAGGAUGGAGGUUACCAAAACUCGUGUGAAACCCUAGCAUGAAGCUUGUCCGCGUUUUGGUCCUUAAGGGAUCUAUAUAUAGUGAGACAAUUAGGGUUAUCUAACAAGGAAACCCUAAUUUGGUUGCUUAAGCCCUAAGCAACCCAUGGAUUACUUUCCUUAAGGGUCUGGACGAUUUCUAAUGGGUUUCCCCAUAGAAUUCGUCCACUCCUUAAUAUAAGACAAUCCAUAGCCCAAAUUGCAAUUAUCUUAUAAUUACAAUUCCAGUCCCUUAAGUUUAAUUAAUCUCUUUUAGUCACAAAACUAAUUACCAAUUAAUUAUUGACUAAUAUUAAUUAAACAAUAUGAUUUCUCCUUUAAUAUAUUAUUCUCAUAAUAUAUUAAUAAAUCAUAUUUAAUCCUUUCUCUCCAUAAUUCAUCCUAUCAAGUUGCUUUGGUGAAGGCAACCCAAAAGGACCAUGCACCAUCGGGUCAAGUACAUACCAAAAUAGUUAUGGACUUAGACACUAAUCCAACAGUCUCCCACUUGGAUAAGUCUAAUAACUAUUAUGCGUAUGACUUCAGAUCCUGAUCUGCAAUCGUAGCUUUCAAAAGCCGCUGUCAACUCUGAUCUUAUCAGAUACGCGUCCUUUAGAUAAGGGAUCAUAUAUUCCUCCAUUCUAGAUAUCGUAUAGACUGAGACAUGGAUUUAAAUCAUUCUCUCUGUCUAUGUGUUGUUUCCCGAUUUCCGAUUUAUGACGACUGACAACAGACUACAAUUGAACACAUCAAAUUAGUCCCGGCUUGGCCAAGCGCUUAUGUGUCAUCACUAAAUCAUCGAGGGGCCCACAGAUAUCGCUUUCAUCCUACUUUGGAUAAAAGGAACGGAUAAACUUUGAUUCAAUGCUUGCUUGCACUCACUCACCGAAUCACACACAACAAUAUGUUUUAUGACACCAAGUUACUGGUGCGUUUACAUAUUAUCAAUGUGUAACCGACUCGCAAGAUACAACUCACACAUCUCGGUUUCAAGAAUAUAAGAUAUUAUCGUCUCACCAAUCACUCGUGAUAAAAUCCAUGAAGUGAUCCAAGUGAGCGUGGGUUUAAUCCAAUGCUCAAAUCAUAUUCAUAAGCACUCAUGAACGUUGCAGCAAACAUUUGCUUAUGUCUAAUACACUUUAGACAAUCCACACACCAAUUCACGACAGUCUUCAUUCAUACCUACUUCCAACAUAUGAACGACUGUGGUCCGUUCGAAUAAUUUGAUUGUUCUGAACCAAUUUAAUUAUUCAGGAAGUCAAAACAUGCAAAGUGAAACACAAGAAUAAUACUAAUCCCAUAUGGCCCCAAACUCUGGGUAUAAAUAAAACAUUUUAUUUAAUCACCAUAUUGAUUACUCAUUAUUUGUUGUUUCGGGUAAUCAACUUCUUACUUGAAUUAUUACUACACUUGUCCCAUGCUCUCAGCAUGCACACAAUGUUUACCUACGGUCCUUACUUUGUGAAAUAGAUCAAAUGAACACAUUUCCAAUCAUACUCAUUUCACAACUCCCAAUCCUUAUCAUAAGUAUAAGAAUAUCAAAUUCUUGUUACUUAUGCUAGAUUCUAACAUUUUAUGCAAUGAUUCUUUCGUAAAGUCAUAGCUCAAAAUCAUCAAGACUUGGCCAAUCUCUAUCAGAAACAAUUCUAUAGAUAUGAUGUCUCUCACUCAAAGUACAUUCCUUUGAACAUCCUUCUUGCAUAAAAGUUUCUAAUCUAGACAUAGAUUCUCAAUAUCCAACUCCCAAUAUGGAAACAUUUCCAUAUUUUCCAUAUGACAACUCAUUCUUAAUAGAAUCUUAUCUAUUCAUAAUAAUGUCGAUAUGGUCCAUCCAAUACUAUACUUCCAACUACUCACAAGCGACCAAUCCUCGGCGAACUUUGGAUUGUCCUUUGAUAGUUGUUUAAUUAUCUUAGUCAAAACCGAUUCUUGUCCUUUUUCCCUCUAAAUGCGCUAGACAUUUGGAAAAUUUUAGAAUGGUCAAAUAUUAUAGCAUUUGCAAUCGAUCCUAUACCCGAAGCGUAUGGGACACGAUGCAUAAUGUCUUACAUAAAGAUUUGAUACUUUAUCAAUCUUCUGCCAUAAUAUUUUAUGUGUCACGUUCUCACAAUUCGAACUAUGAAGAGGGAUGCCAUAAUCAUAAUCGAAAUUUAAGAACACACUAUGUAUCCUUGACUAAAUUUAUUAACAUUCCACAACCUAAGCCUUUAGAUUUGAAAUGAAGCAUAAUAUUCUCUCCCUUAAUUAUAGCAAAACAACUAUUCAACCCUUACAACUUUGCAAAGUAUGACUCUUGUUUUCUAUAAUUAAUAUUGCUAACUUGCAAUACUUGCCUUAAUAAUCAUACAAUCAUAACAUUUAUGCUCCCACUAUCAUGAUGAUUAUUAUAAACAUAACACUUAUGCUCCCACUAGCUUUGACAUGUAUUCAGAAACCAGCUUAACUUCCAGAAAAACAAUACUUAUUGAAUUUCUUAAGUUCAUGUUUCUAAUACCUAAUGCUUUGAUAAUCCUUUAUCUAAGCUUAUACACCUUUGCCUUAGAUAGCUCAUAUGUGUGUCUAAACAAUUUAGACUAAUUGCCAAAUCUCACAAUUCGAAUCAUGGAAAGGGAUACCGUAACCAUAAUCGAAUUCGAGAAUACAAUUUUCACAAUCACUAUCUUUUUAAAAUCUCUCUUAGUGAAAGCAUUUCCUCACAGUCAUUUUCAUGAAGGAGGGAAUCUUAUGACACUUAGAUUUUAAUGGUGUAUGUGUUCCUAUCCAUGUGAAUUUGUCAAAACCAAAGUUUACGACAAAUUCAAACUCAUAUGGACCGAACUUUCUUAAUCUUGACUUCUUGCCUUAUGGUAACACAGCUGCCCACCAUGUCUUCCAAGUAGUUAAGCAGCUCACCCUUUCCUAUCAAUGUACUUUCCAUUGAUCAAGGUGCCUGCCUUUUAUGCGUUCAAAUGAGAACUCAUAGAACUCACAUGCAUAAUUAACUCAAUUGGAAUGGCACAGAAACAAAAUAAUGUCAACACGAUAGGUUGUAAACCUCAACUCGUGUGCUAGUGAUGAUCGAUAAGGUUUAUUUUGAUUUGUUCUUGAAACCUUUCAAGACCAUUAAGACUCCCACUGACUCCUUGACAUAUAAGAUUCUCUUGUCAAUAAACAUUUCUUGACAAACAAAUAUUCAAGAGUUAGUGUAGCUUUUAUCAAAACACUUCAUAAAUUGGUCCUAGUUGGUCUUUGUCUUAUCCAAGACAUCACAACUUUCCACAUUUGAUGAAUGUUAUAAACCUUCUUAAUACUUUUCACUCAAUGUCACAAUCUUAACUCUAAGACUUGUUUUGGAACGAAGUAUGAUUGACUUCUUGAUUUAACCAUUUCUUCAAUUCUUGAUUCCUCUUCUUAGACAUACAAUUGUACUAAGACUCACUUAGAGGAUCAAUUGAGAUAUGGUUCUUAAUCAUUAAGACCUAUCAUAAAGCAUAAAAGGUACUCUCCCUUCUUCUUAGAAUGGAGAAACUUUUAUCUUUCUGCCUACUUGAUUCUUCUUAUUCGUUCUGCUAUUGAUUUAAACUUUUUCAAUCAAUUCAGAAUUACACUUAAUCUUGUAAGUAUAAUCAUAUUUACUAAACCUUUAGUAAAUCAUGACGAAUAUCUUUGUUACUCUUAUGGUGGACUUGAUCAACACGCAACUUUGUGUACUCGAUCUCCUAGUCCUUCACUUGACACUUUGUCAAUGAAUUAGUCUAAUUUCCAAAUAUGAAAUUUCUCAUUCAUCGUGCAACCAAGUUGCAUGAUUCCAAGUUUCUGUCCAAUUGAAACUUGGGCGAUGAGAAACUCUCCCUAUUUGGUAAAUUCUCGACUUUCCAUAAAUAACAUAAUAAGAACCAAAUCCAUUAUUGCUAAUAAUAGAAACAUUCAAACAUCAAUUUUUCAUAUACGCCAUUGCAAGGAUAAAUAAAUAAUAUAAAAUCAAAAUUUAUUUUAUUGCGGAAAAAAUUUGUCCUUACAAUGCAAUUCAUUGAAAAACUAUGCUAAUACAUCUUUCUUAGCAAUCUAAUUCUAACUCUAAGUAGUAGCUCAAGAAUCUAAUCUUCGAGAAAUGCGAUCGAAAUCCAUUCCUUCACGGUUAGAUUCUGCUCACUUCUUCCCUUAAGCUUCCUUUCUUUUCUUCGAUCCUACAAAACAUCAAUUGUAAUCUUAUCACAUUAUGUAUUAAGAAUCUAGAAUAGAAGCUUAAAAGAGUUAGUUAAUGGAUUUUACCUAUAUUAGAGCCAUACGUUUCGACUCUCCCAUCUCUUAGAUCUCUUAGGUAAAUGGGGCAGCUUCGUCUCCAAUGCCCUUUCUCUUGGCAAUAAAAGCAAAUUGACUCUUUUGGAACAUGACAUGGAACUACUUCAGACAUUGCCUUUCUCUUAUGAUCAAACUUUUCGAUCAUAGCAUGUCUUUCGUUGCCAUUGUCUAUAUCCAUAGAGGUCUUGAAGGCAGAUUCACCAAUCAACUUUGCUUUUCUAUUGCGCCAAACCAUUGCUGAUUCAGCAGCAAUAAGCAUAUAGGUGAGAUCUAUAAGGGUCACGUCGCGGUUCAUCAUAUAGUACUCUCUUACGAACUCACUAUAUGAGUUAGGAAGUGACUGAAGAACCCAAUCAACAGCCAUUUCCUCACAGACAACGGAUCCCAACAUUCUUAACCUAUCAAUGUGUGACUUCAUCCCUAGGACGUGUGCACACACCGACUUUCCUUCUUUAUGUUUACUUGCCAAAAGGGCUUGAGUGAUCUUGAACUUUUCAAGCCUUUGAACUUGUGGGUUAGGGAGAAUAAUUGGAGGAGGAGGAGGAAGUGAAGCAUGAUUUCUUGUUCCUCGAUCGAAUCGUGGAAUAUCAUCUUCAUGUGGAAUGCUUGUUCCACGGGAUUUGGGAAGACCAUAGUUGUCGAACUUUGACAUCUACAAAACGGGAGAAAACGAAUUCAAGUUAGUUGAUUGAUUGAGUCCUUAGUAAAUCACCCAAAUGAGAUACUAAGGCUAGGACCCAACACAAUAUUCUACAACUCGGGAGAGGGAUGCCGUAACCCUAAUUGCAGAAUAUUUGAAGGUAAGUGAAUGACGAUUCACUAAUUUCCACCAUGAAAAACGAAAAAGAAAUUUAAGUUUUAAAUCUAUGAAAACUCCUAGAUCCUUUGAGAUUCAUUGAACUUUCAAUGGCAUGUUUAAAUCUCGAUAUGCCCCUCUUGUUUGUGACUGGGAUGCCGAGGAUCACAAAGCGGGUGUGAAUAACCAUGCAAACUUACAUGGUGCCCUCACAUGUUACAGUCACCUAUUCGAUGUGCCGGUAAACCACACACGCUCCACCGAACUAUGACAAACAUUGAGUCACCCUUUGCUACCUUUGCUUAGAACCAUUUAGUGUGCCGGUAAACCACACACGCUCCACUAACGUCUUCGCAAGGGCACAAAGUGUAAUUUCAUGGAAUUGCAUCAAUUCACUUUUGCCUAAGUAACUAAGAUUGGGAAUUUUAUGAAAACAUUUAGUUACUUUAAUAAUUCAUUAUACUUAUAAUGGAAGGUUUCGUCCUAUCCUACCCGUUCGGCUAACGACCCUCCACUAGUCAAGAGUGCGGUGGGUAAGAGUGGAUACCCAUUCAAUCGCCAUUUUAUAGGCAAUUUCCUUAAACACCCCUUAUAGACCAGCUUCGUGAAUGAGGCCUACUAACGGUAAGACUGACUUUUACUCAUACAUAUAUAUAAUGUUAGACUUUUAAUGUUAUAUAUAGUAUAGGGUGUAUUUUACACUUUUAAAAUACUAGGUGGUCUAAUUUAACAAUUAUACUUUUAAUUCAAUUAAAUUGUAAACCUAAACUUUUAUGGAUUUAUUAAACCUCUUUUAAUUAUACACCUUAAUUAAUUAAUAAAACCAUAAGGGUGUGAUUUGAACUUUUUCAAAACUAUACUAGAGUUUUAGAAUUUAACAUUCCUAAUUAAACUUUUAAUCAACUUUUAAAUUCCAAAACUUGAGGGCAAGUUUUGAAACAUUUCAACACAUUAGGGUUUAGAAUUUAAAUAUACAUCAAAAUUAAACCAUUUAAUCAAAAUUUAAAUUCCAAAACUUGAGGGCAAGUUUUGAAACCUUUUUCAAAACAUUAGGGUUUUAACUAUUUAAAUUUCAAAACAACAAAACUUUUGGGUUCAAAUUUAAACUAUAAAACCUAAAGGGGAAAAUAUGAAACUUUUCAUAACACAAGGAUCAAAUAACAAAUAAUCUAAAUUAACAUUUAAUCACAUAAUUAUCCAUAUUUGAUUUAUUUAAUGAUUUCUUGCAAAACAAUUUAUCAAUUUAGUCAAAAUAAUUAAUCAAUUAUCACAUAAGGAAACAAUUAUCUUAUUAAUUGAUAAAUAUCUUCAAUUAGAUCAAGAAUAUAGUCAAAUAUAUCAUAAAAUCGGAUUUAUAUUGAUCUAAUAUGAUAAGGUAACUAUCCAUAAGCAAAAACAGCAAGAAAUCGCGAAGAUAUCCCCAUCUGACGAGUUGACUCGUCGAGUCAGGCUUGGACUCGUCGAGUCUGCAUGGACUCGGCGAGUUCAGCCAUGGACUCGGCGAGUCCAGCCUCCAGAAACCCAAAAAACGAAUUUUCCAGUUAUACAAUGCAUCAAUACAAUUGAAACCAAGCUAGGCUCUGAUACCACUGAUGGGUUUUGGUCAUAAGACAUCCUAUGUGCUCAUACAAACCCUAAUGCUUGGAUCUAGGUUUCUCUAUUGUACAUGCUUUGAAUCCAAGACUAUAAACCCUAAUUCUAGCAUAUGGAAAUCGAUAUUAACAUAUAAUUAGGUUUAUGAUAUUACCUUGAUUGUUAUGUAGCAAUAACAAUCCCAAUUCCUCCUUGAAUUGACUUUGGAAGGCUUAGAGUCACAAGUGUCACUCCUCUAAUGGUUCACAAACACCAUAAGCAAGAGGAUGAAGAGGAGAGAGGAUGGAGGCUACCAAAACUCGUGUGAAACCCUAGCAAGAAGCUUGUCCACGUUUUUGGUCCUUAAGGGAUCUAUAUAUAGUGAGGCAAUUAGGGUUAUCUAACAAGGAAACCCUAAUUUGGAUGCUUAAGCCCUAAGCAACCCAUGGAGCCCUUUCCAUAAGGCCUUGGACGACUUCAUAUGGGCUUCCCCCAUAGAAUUCGUCCACCUUAUAAUAAAAGGCAAUCCAUGGCCCAAAUUGCAAUUAUCUUAUAAUUACAAUUCCAGUCCCUUAAGUUUAAUUAAUCUCUUUUAGUCACAAAACUAAUUACCAAUUAUUGACUAAUAUUAAUUAAAAAAUAUGAUUUCUCCUUUAAUAUAUUAUUCUCAUAAUAUAUUAAUAAAUCAUAUUUAAUCCUUUCUCUCCAUAAUUCAUCCUAUCAAGUUGCUUUGGUGAAGGUAACCCAAAAGUACCAUGCACCAUCGGGUCAAGUACAUACCAAAAUAGUUAUGGACUUAGACACUAAUACAACACAUUUGUCAUUCUAUCGAAGUACUUUGAUAUAUUAUGUUUUAAUUGGUUUCCAUCAAAGUACAUUAUUAUUAUUAUUAUUAUUAUUAUUAUUAUUAUUAUUAUUAUUAUUAUUAUUAUUAUUAUUAUUAUUAUUAUUAUUAUUAUUUNNNNNNNNNNNNNNNNNNNNNNNNNNNNNNNNNNNNNNNNNNNNNNNNNNNNNNNNUUUGGAUUAAAGGUACGUAAUAGUUUUUCCUAUUUAUUUGAAAAGUUUCAGAAAAGUUGUUAAUCGAUUUCAUGUAAGUUGUGACAAAAAAAAUCGAAAUAUAUGAAUACAUAUAUUUGAUACAAGAACAAAACAAUAAUCGAAAAAAAAUAAAAAAAAGCUAAAGAAGGUAUCGGCCAUCUAUUGCACGACAACGAAGGUUUGAAGCAGAGAAUAAUGAUCAAAGUUAUAAGCAAUAUGAAUGAUGUUGUAAGAGAAUGUUUGAAGAAAAACAAUGAUGGAAAAUAAGUGUGAACCGCGGAUUCAAGGAUGAAUCGUAUAUGUGUGUGAUAAUUUGAAUUUGAUUUUUUGGUAUGAAUGGUUUCCUAACAAAAAUGGAUAUUAUAUUAAUGAUUUGCUAAUAUAAAUGGAUUUAUAUUAAUGGUUGAUAUUUAAUGCCUUAAUUGAAAUGAUUUUUAGUAAUAUGUUUUUAAAGUUGACAAUUUUAAAAUCUUUAUAACUGGAAAUUCAAGAUUUAAAAUAUAAGAAGUUUUUAUUAGAAUUAGAUACAUUCCAUUUCAAUGGAUUUAAGUUAAUUUUGUUUAACAAUUGGAAAGCUUUUAUUGGAAUUAAAUACAUUCCAUUUGGGAAGAUGAUGUCAAUAAUUUGAUCUAAGGGUGGAAAACAUAGGAUUGAAAUACAAUCAAUGGCCCAAAUUGUUUAAGAUGAUGUCAUAAGAUUUUUGUUUUAAUAUAUAUUAAAGAUAACAUAAUUAUUGAUAUGCUUAUUUAAUGAUCUUUUUAAAAAGAAAAAAACUAAACAAGUUUGAAUUUUGAAGCCAAAAACUAUAAAUAAGGGAGUUAAAUUAUGAACAAUAUUAAUUAGGGUUAAUGAUGACACAUAUUUUCAAAAGAUGUCUUGAAGGAGAUGCUUGCUUCAUUUUGUAGAGAUUUGUGUGAAGCCAAAACAGAGGUGUGAUAAUUGGAGAUGCAAGGAAAAGGCAACACACAAAUUCUAAGAAUACAUGACCAAAAAGGAAUCACCUUAUGGUGCUACAUUCUGUUAUGAACACACAAAACAUCAAUUGAAGCACAACCAUUAACAUGAGGACGAAGAGGAUUAGAGAAUUAUGGUUUAAGAGAAAAAAAAUAGAGGAGAAAAAUGGGAAAAAUGGGCGGCUAUUCAUGUUUCUGGCCAGAUUUAUGGAGAAACGGAUACUUCAUAUAUAAAUAGAAUAAUAUGCUUCAAUUGAUAACAUAAUUGCUGAUUUUAAAGAUUCUAUAUCUAAAUGUAAUUAUGCUCGAAUUUUGAAAUAUAUUUUAGAAAGUAUGAAUAGAUUCUAUAAUUAAAUAUUCUAUAAUUAAAUGUAAUUGUGUUUGAAAUAUAAUUGCUAAAUUUAAAGAUUCUAUAAUUACAUGUUUGAAUUUUAUUUGGAGAAGAUGAUGUCAUCAGUUUGAUCUAAGGGUGGAAAUCAUAUGAUUGAGAUACAAUCAAAGGUCAUGAUUGCUUUAUUGGUGAAUUAAAGGAUCUCUUUUAAUAAUAAUUAGAGAUUGGGGAAGAAAAUCACUGAUUUUUCACAUUUAGUCCCUAAAGUUUCAAAAAAAUUGUACUUUUUUACCCAUAAACUAAAAUUGUUUCAAAUUUUGGAGAUUUUUGUAGGGAUUUCAAGAGUGUUAUUUUUGCAAGAUGUUUUUCAGCAACAUGAACAUAUUCUGUUCAUUUUUGGUCCAAGGCAAUCCGAGAAGAUCCCUUUUCGACUAGAAGUGAAAAAUUUAUCGAUUCUUCGGAUUUGAAGUGAAACGUUUAUGCCAUGUGUCAAGGAGGAGGAUUGAAUUGCAUAUUCCACAUUGAGCACUUUCUCAUUCAUAUUUGGGUUUUAUAAUCAUAUUUCGAUUAUAAAAAGGGGGGAGAGAUUAGUAAUAUGAGAAUUCGAAGUCGAAAGUUUUGAAUUUUUCAUAUUAGGCGAAUUUGAAGACUAAUGUGACCUUGAGGGGGAGUAAAUCAUGAAGUUAUUCGAAUUGGAAAUUAUGAAGUGGUUCGGGUAUUCCCAGCCUCAUGAAGGGUUUGGACAUAAUGAAGAUUUUUGGGGUGUGUUUUUAUGCUCAAAGUUAGGUAAUUGAUUCGUGGAGGUUUGAUUCUCCAAAUUACCUUUUGAUGAUCAGAUUGUAAUAUCUCACAUUCUAGAACUCGGAUUGGAAAAUUAUUGAAGACUUGAAGAUUUGAUGCUUAUUUCUACAUUUAUCACGCUUGAGGAUUCGUUCGCAAAGUUGCUCAUUUUGGAUAUUAAAGCCGAUUCAUCAAUUUCUAAAUGUCAAAAGUCAACAAGUCAGCAACCAAUGAAAGUCAACAGUCAACCACGUCAACAAUCACCAUGACGUGGAGUCCUCUUGGCCACAUCGUGGGCAUGACAAGUCAAAAUUGAUGACAUGCAGGACAUCGUCAUGUCGUGCCAUUGACGAAGUGAGUGGUGGAGAAUUUUCCUCGCAGUACUCACAAUUUUUUGAGUGUUCACCGGAUUCACACUAAUAUGCUAUCUUUUUAGAUCGGAGGGUAUGGGUGGGAGUUUCCCCCACUUUUUGUGGGCCACACCACAAUUUCCCUCACUUUCCUUUCCUUCGCCUAAAACCAAAGGAAUGGGUGGAAAGCUCCCCUCACUAUUUUUUUAUUUUUUAAAAAAAAUAUAUUUCAUACAUAUAUUAUACUCAUUUUUUAGGGAAUUAAAAACCAUGAACUUUGAUAUAUUUUUUAUAUUUUUUUAGUAUGUAUAUAAUUUUAUAAAUAUUAAAAAAGAUAAAAGAAAAAAAAAAUUGGCCAAUAGAAUGAGGAGAGAAAGUGCGACACCCCCUCCCCCCACCUCUUUCCCGCGGGUUGCUUCCCUCACCCAAGGGAUGGUGUUCCAGAGUGAGGGAAGCUUCCCUCACCCCUUUCCCNNNNNNNNNNNNNNNNNNNNNNNNNNNNNNNNNNUAUAUAUAUAUAUAUAUAUAUAUAUUAAAAAGAUAUCAUAUUUGAAUGAGUAAUUUUAAUUUUUAAAUGAAUAAAAAUACGGGUGUAUAUAAAAUAGUUGAUGAUGUACAAAUGAAUGUUUUUUUUAAAAGAAUAUUGAUAUAUAAUAAGUUAACUAUAAAUACUUCUAUGACAUAAUCAGGAAACGAAUUGACAUUGCGUUAUUAACUUAUUGUAGAUUGUUCUAAGUGCUUAUCUCAUACCUGUGACUAAUAAGGUUUUUAAUGUAGUGGGGUUGUCUUGAUAUUUUCUUAUUUAUUUCUCCAAUCUUAGUAGGCAUGUCGAAUUGUUUAUUUUAUUUUUAUUUAUUAUUUAUUUAUUUUUGUUAAGAUUGUUUAUUAGUUUGUGGUGACAAAAAUGGAUUUCUAAAAAAAUAUUCGGAUUAGGUUAUAUAAUGUCAAAAAGUUAUAAGUUACAAACCUUUAAAAAAAAUGCUUGGGUUAAUUUUAGUUAUUUUUGGUGAAUAAGUUACAAACAUUUUUUAAAAACUCAUAAUUUAUAGCUUAUUUAAAAUGAUUUUUUCAAGGAUAACAAAAAAAACUUUUUAAAAAUGCUUAUUAAUUAACUUGACAAACACUUUUUUAACUUAGCUUUUUGAAAAACUAAUAAAUUGAUAAGGCUAUCGGGGGUGUCGUCCGAACGUCAUGCGCGUCGUAGGUGUGAACACCAUCCUGACUGGUCGGCGUCAUGGUGAUGCCGCGUAAUCGGAACCACGCUUGAAGACUUAUCCAUCUCUCUCUCUCUCUCUCUCUCUCUCUCUCUCACUAAGACCACCCCAAUGGUGGUGGUGUAGGGGCGUGGUUGUGGCAUUCCCAAUUUUACAGCCAGAAAGACCGAUUUGUUUAUGCUUAUUUAAAAAUUAGAGUAUAUUUUUGAAGAAUAAUAUUGCGGAAUUUGUUCCAAAAACAUGAUAAUGAUAUUAUCAAAGCAUUUCCGAGGAAAUGUAAUUUAUUUAUAUUAAAACGUUUGGAUGUCAUCGUCAAUACGACAAUAUAAGCAUAACGAAAUAUUAUAAGUCUUACAGUAAUUAAACUAGUGACCUAAUACUCAUUAAAUAUCUCAGCAGAAUGUAUCAUUAAUAUCGCUAUUUGUGAUACAAUAAACUAAGUGGGUCAGUUUUGGAAACCUGGUGAGUACAUAGGGUUUUCAACCCACAAUAAUAUAAUUAAUAUGUUUAAUCAUCAAACAAUUAACCCAAUUUCUCCCCCUCAUUAUCUUCUUUAUUCUUAAGGAUCUUCCUUAAGGAUCAUCUAUGCUGCCAAAACUAUUUCAAGGAUUCCUCCAUGAUACUUGUCAGUAGGUAUUCUUGUAUAUUUAAUCCUAAGGAUUUUUCCUAAGGAAUAGACAUGAAGUCCAUCGCUAUCAGUGUUUAUCUAAUAUCACUAAGUCCAUAGCUGCCAGUGUUUAUUUGUUAGGCACUAAGUCCAUAGAUACCAGAGUUUAUUUUCUUUAUUGACAACAUUACUUUAGGGAGUCCACCCACAAUACAUGUCAAUGAGUUUUUAGAGUACAUCUAAUGAACACAUGGUUCACAAACACCUACAGGCUGCGAGUCUGCUAGCGUUUCACUGGAAUGUCUAGAAUAGUCCGUGGUUGUCAUCUAUACUCAGCUAGAUGAUGUCUUCUUUAAAGUUAAGGCCUCUCAUCAUCUUUCUCAUAUUUCAUCUCUUAUCAUCUAUAUCAUCUUUCAUCUUUCAUCAUCUAUAUCAUAUUUCAUCUAUCCAUCUUUACCCAAUAUAUUUAUAGGUAUAAAAAUGCAUAUUCAGUUUAAAUCAAGUAAAACAUGUAUAAAUCGUUCAUCUAGCAUAGAUAUCAGGAACACAUAUAAUAGGUACAUAUAGUAUGUAUUUAUAUUAAAUACUUCACAUCGAUGUGUAAGAUGAAUGUAACUAUGUACUCACUUGUUAAAGUGAUGACUCGAAACUCAGACAACGUUUUGCUUCUAGCAACUGUCUUUUCAUUCGAUGUAACAUGGUAUUAUUAUUAGGGAUGAACGUGGGACGGAACCGGUACCGACCCGUACCGUUCCCGAUUUCCCGAAAACCGAAUUUGGUCAAAAAUCAAUCCCGAGUACCGAACCGAAUUAAAAUCACCGGUACCGGUACCGGUUUUCGGUACUAGUACUGGUACCGGCGAUACCGAUUCCCGAAUUUCAUGUAUUUUAAGUACCAAGUACCGUCCCAUAUUUUAAAAUUCGGUACGGUUCGGUACCGGUACGAGAUCGGGAUUUGGGAAAAAUUGCUCAUACCUAAUUAUUAUCAAUGAGUCUUAGUCUAAUAUUUAUUGCGACUAAUUAUUAGUCUAGAUUAAUCAUUAAUUCAAAGUUUACUAAUCUAUAGCUGAUAAGUGACAACCACGUAAGAUCAUAUCGGAGGUAAGGUCUGUUUGGUAUACAAACUAUACUGUUUUGGAAAACCCAAUUUAAACACCUCACUAAAUCUAGCAUUGUCAUCAUCCCUGUAAGUAGAUCAAUUAAUAUAACGACUUUAAAUCACUGAUAAAUCUUGUUUAUAGGUUCAUAAUAACGAUAAUGAAUUUAAACAUAAGUUACACUUAAAGCGUAAUAGGUGUAGCUUAACUUACAGGGUUUCUAGCGAAAACUUAGAACUCCGUCGUCAGAACUUUGUAACUAAAUCUUUUUUUCUAAAAAGAUUCUUAUAGCGCUUCAACGCCCACCUUACUAUACUAAAACUACAUAAAGAGAAGUCGAAUCACGAGGGACCGAAUGCUCGGGGAUAAGAAGAUAAAGACUCUUAAAUUAAGAGAAUGGUGCAAGAAAUAUGAGAGCAUAAAGUCUCAUAUUUAUAGUAAUUGAAUUUUCAAUAACUACAUUUUAUAGUUACUUAAACGACCUUAUUGUUAUUUAAACGACUAAACGCCCUUUAUAAUACUGUUUUAAAUAUAUUUAAUGAUAUUUGUAUUAAACUAAUAUCGAAAGUAUUCAAUAUUAGUCUUAUAAUGACUGCAUCGUCGAUACAUUUCUAAUGAUAUAUAUAUAUAUAUAUAUACACACACACACACACACACACACUUUAUUUUAAUAUGUAAAUAUGUUAUUAUAAAUUAUAACUUGUUCAUAUGAACUUCGUUUUUAACGUUCUUUAUAUCCAUGUGUAGCUAUCGACGACAUCUACAACUUUCGUUUAGACUCCGUCGACUAAUUUCGACUUUAAUUUUAAAUUAUAUUUUAACAGACUUAGACUGUUAAUGUCCGUUAAAAAUUCAUAAUUUUGUCAUCCGACAUUCGUUUUCGACUGUUUUUUAUCGUUCAACUCCUAUUGAUAAGGUCUUCAAUUAUCGUUUAGAUUGUUUUGGCUAAAAAUCAACCGAUCUAAAAUUCGAUUUUUGAGUUGCAUACCGCUAUGGUGAAUCUUAGAAAAAUCAUAACUUCCUUUAACGAAGUCAGAUUAAAACGUUCUUUAUAUGAAUACUCUCGGUUUGAUGACUACUACGACUUUCGCUUAGAUGACUAUGGCUAAAAAGUAUUUUAUCAAAAAUUAACUUUUUACGUUAUGUAGAGUCAUGCCAGUUUAAAUCGCAAAACUUCAACGAGUUAUAACAUCUUCGUUAUAAGUCGUAUUUCAGCGUUCUUUAUAUGUACAGAAUCCUUGUGAUAUGUAAUACUCCCUCCGUCCCAUAAUAAUUGUCCACUUUUGACUUUUGAAGUCUUUAUUCAUCAACUUUGACCUUAAAUAUUGUUAUUUGUGUUAUGUAUUAGUCGUUGAAACUUAUAGCAAUGAAAAAACAUUUAAAAUACAAUCUAUUCAUAAAUUUUGCAUUAAGUUUUAUAUAUCAAGGACAAAAAUAUUUAAGGUCAAAGUUGAAGAAUAAAGACUUCAAAAGUCAAAAGUGGACAAUAAAUAUGGGACGGAGGUAGUAUAACUUUGGUUAUAAUUAUUUAUCCGAAAUAAUCUUAUAUAAAAAAAAUCAUUUUAACACUUAUUACCUCUAAGUUGACUAACCCGAAUCUACGGGCGUUACCGUUGACAUAACGAUGAUGUGAAAGGUGGCUACAUUGUAAAACUCUCCUUCUCGCUCCCUCUAAAUUGCCUAAGCAAUUUUGAAACUCAAACAUCUCUUAUAUUCAAUUUUCAAAUUUUCUUUUGCAAAUGUCAGAUAUGUAUCUUACUAAAUCGCAUCAUAUGUGCUAUAUGAAAUCUCCAUGAAGGAAAACACUUUUCAAUCCCAAAACAUUCCGGUUGAUGAACGACCACUUCUGAGUUGAGAUCUCCAUGAAUGAAAACACUUUUCACAUGAAGCUAAAAUAUUCCUAGCUUCUCACUAGGUUUUUUUAUUUUAUUUUAUUUUAUUUUUUUUUAUUUUUUUAUUUUUAUUUUUAUUUUUAUUUUUUAUUUUUUUUUAAAUAAAAUUUUGCCAUUCAAAAACAAGUCUUGCCACGGGUACAAACAAUUUCGUAUAAUUUACGCCGUCUGAUUGAGAAUACUACCAACUUUACUUUAACUUUUGCACAUUUGCUCUUUCCUUAACCUUUGUUUUGUAAACUCAGUUUGACUCCAAUUGGCUUUACUCCGAUCCCACAAGCUUAUUAAUUCCUAUUAUUUUUUUUUCUAUGGCUUUUAUCAUCACAAUCAUUGUUUCUCUCAACUUCUUGCCUUUUUAAAAAAAAAAAAAACUCUUGAACAUAUGAAUUAAUAUUCAACUGUUUACUAUAAAUUUAUAUAUUGUUUCUUGAAAUCCAUACAAAAUAUUUAUACUGUGAUCAAUUAGAACAAAGUAAUACAUGUUCUGAUUUAUAAUACAAGAGUAAAAAUAUGAAUAAACAUUCAUAUGAAAGUAUUCAAUUGUGAUUCAUAUAUACCACUUUUAACAAUGCUUUUUUUUUUCUCCCUUUCACUAAUCCUUUCACUAACGUAUUACUUUUAACAAUGCUUUUUUUUUUCUCCCUUUCACUAAUCCUUUCACUAACGUAUUAGGAAUCACAAUAGGUAUAUUAGUAAAAACAAUGUAUUUUUUUUUUUUUUGGUUUCUCCGUUUGCUAAUUUCUUAAAACGGGUUUGAUAAAAAUCAUAAUAGAAUACUGAAAAAGGGCCUAUAAGAUCAUAUUAAUUUUUAUUUUUAUUAUAUACUUAAUUUUUAUUUUUAUUAUUUAAUUCUAUAGUAAGAAUCACCAUAGGUAUCACAUUGUUCUAAUCAAUGUUUUAAAAACCGUUUUUUUAGUUGAACCGGUAUGGUGACCGGUUUUUGGUUUAACCGGUUUCACCGCCGGGUUAACCGGUUUCUAUAUUUUCAUGUUUUUUUUCUAUAUUUUCCUAUACAUACAUAUAUAAAUCAUGAAUUUGAUGUUUACAAAUUCAAACAUUAAAAAUAUAUAUAAAUAUAAGUUUUUGAUGAAUCCAAAUACAUUAAAAUAACAUAUAACCAUAAGUUCUAUUGUUUUACAUCAAUCCAUAUAUAUCAAAAAGAAAAUAAAUUAUAAUACCGUAACGAAAUAUAAUUUUAGAUGAAUAUAAAUACAUCAAAAAACUUUAUAACAUUUAUAAUAUGUUUUUAUUUAUAGAAAAUUAAAUAGAUAUGAAAAAAAAAACAUCAAAGUUUAUUAUGUAAAUGGUUUUUUUUUCAUAUUUUUUUAUUCGGUUUAACCGGUUUAUUUUGACCGGUUCAACCGGUUUUCUCUAAAAACCGGCCGGUUCAAAAAUCAAUAUAAAACCGGUGAUAUUUGAACCACUCCUCCCCGGUUUCCGGUCCAACUGGUUGGAUCGGCUGGUUCACACCGGUUUUCAAAACAUUAGUUCUAAUUGAUAUCAGUUCAAAUCGUUUUUAUGGAUUUCUACUUGAAACCAAUUUAUAAAUUUGUAGUAAAAGAUUAAAUCGCAUUUUCUAUUUAUAGGAGUUAAAAAAGUAAACAUAAGUAUACGUACUAUUUUGAUUGUAAAACACGCGUCUUACCCUGGGUGUUAGCUACAAAAAUAUAACUACCGUAACUUUAUAUACAAAAAUAUUGUUUGUUUUACUAGUAAAAUGCAUAUAUUACCUCUUUGAUAGUUCUUGUUUGAAUUAGAAAAUAGAUAAAAUCGAUGUAAAGAAAGAUUAUAAAAAGUAAACUAGAAACUUGAAUAAAAAUUAUGAGAUGAAACAAAAAUAAAAUCUCAAAAACCCAGAAGUUUUAUUGGCGAUAUCUACACAUAAUCUAUACCCGAAAUACUAAUUUGGGAUUGAUAAUAGUUUUGGUAUAUGAAGUUAAGUCAUUGACCUAUAUCUCCUAUAAUAAUUAUAAUAAUCAUUUUUAUGAUUUUCCCAAAAUAUUAACAGAGUAACUAACUAAAACUGAUUAUCCCAAAAUAUUAACAAACUAAUCAAUUAAAGCUGACGUGGACUUUAAUAUUGUAAGAGUUACAAGGGUUUAAACAGAUUUAAUUACUUGUGAAGAAUAGAAGUUACUAGGGGUUAAGCCCAUUCAUCAGCAUUUUCAUAAGCCCACUCUCUCUCUCUCUCUCUCUCUCUCUCUCUCUCAUACCUAAAAUGAUCAGAUGAUGAACGUCAACCAAUUUUCGUGCAACUAAUUGGCAUCAAUGCGCUAUAUGUUGAUGCAAAAUUGUUGACAAGUAGUAGGAAUUAGAAGAAAAGAAAUGUCGCAGAGCAAUAUUACUACUAGUAACUUGAAUGUACCCGUGAGUGAAGUCUACUGGUCUCUUGUAGCUAAAGCCGAUAAAAAGUUCUCCAAAAUUAGGGAUUUGCCGUAUUACGAACGCAACAGGUCAAUUUCUUUCUCUUUGUUGUAAUUUAGUUUGUAUUAGUGUUAUAAUAAAGCUAGCGAUAUGUCCAGAAUCUAGUUUCGUGAAUCGUAUGUCUGGAAACUUAUACAAAUGCAUUUGAGCAUGUUACUGUUAAGAACUUAUACAAUUACUGCAUUUGAGCUUGUUGCUGUUAAUUUGUUUAACGUCAGAUUCUAGUAAAAUGUAUCUUAGGGAAUGAUUUAAUCGCUUGCUCCUGUCCAUGGUAUCGAUCAACUAACCUUCAUGAUAGUCGAAGUAAUACAUAUAAAACUCUAGUUAUGAAAAUGAACAAUUAGGGUACACAAUGUGGUUUUGUAUGUAAUUUAGGUGUUGUGUAUGCUUAUGGCAAAUUCCUGUUGUUUAAUACAGCUAUAUGAUAUUCUAGUUAGUUAACCUUGCACCAAUACAUUUGAUACUCCUUAACUAUAAAGUUGUUUUGCAAUAGGUAUGAUACCUACUUCUACAAGGUAUUCAAAGUUUAUACACAGUUAUGGAAAUUUCAACAAGACAAUCGACAAAAGCUUGUGGAAGCAGGACUGAAGAGAUGGGAAAUAGGUGAUAUUGCAUCGCGAAUAGGGCAACUUUAUUUUGGACAAUAUAUGAGAACAAGUGUAGCCAGUUAUCUGUCAGAGUCAUAUAUCUUUUAUGAAGCAAUCUUGACUAGGGAGUAUUUCAAAGAUGGACUCUUACAGGAUGUGAAUCUUGCCAACAAACAGUUGAGGUUCAUUGCAAGAUUCUUGACUGUGUGUUUAAUGUUGAACAAACGAGAGAUGGUUUAUCGGUUGGUAAGUCAGCUGAAAGUGCUAGUUGCUGACUGCAAGAGGACUUUCCAGGUAUUUAAUCUUAGGGUUUAUUUCAUAUAUUACCAUUAAAGUUGUACCAAUUUACCCUUUUGCCCAUUUAGGUAUCAAAAGGGGCGAGUUUGUCACUGAAUUUGAUGAUCUGUAUGCAUUUGCUCAUUGUAACCUGUUAUAACAAGUAAAACCAUUUUUCAUGCCUACAUGGUAUCCACAUAGGCAUCUUUAUCAUAUUACAUACAUGUGGCACUUACUUUGGCAUUCACAUGGGAAUGUUCAUGCAUCUUAUAUAUCACUUUUAUAUGAUCUUGUUUCAGGACACCGACUUUAUAGAAUGGAAGCUAGUGAUACAAGAAAUAACAAAGUUUCUCAAAGUGGACACAGCUUUUAUGAAUACAAGGCCUCUGAGAUACAGCCUCACAUUAGAUGUAGAGCCUAAUAGCCUGCCACCUGUCCCCAAUGUGAUAAGAAACCUAAAACUGAGAGACGCGAUACUUUGCAGCUAUCAUCCAAACGAGGUGAAAUUCUCAGAGCUCACCCUUGACAACUUUAGAAUGCUUCAAUGUUUGGAGUGGGAACCAAGUGGCUCAUUCUACCAAUCAAGUGGAAGUUUGACCAGUGGUCAACAUGCAGUCAAUCAGGAGAUUUCUGAUCCUACAUUGCCACCAAAUCCACGCAAAGCUGUCUUGUGUCGUCCAUCCAUCACUCAUUUUUUAGCAGUAAGUAAACUCACUUUUUACUAUUAAUUUAUUAGUUGUAAUAAUUGUAAGUUAAAAAUGUGAAUUUGUUUUGUGUGUGUUCUUGGUGACAGGUUUUGGCUACUGUGUGUGAGGAGCUUCCUCCUGAUGGAGUUCUCUUACUCUAUAUAUCUGCUCCAGGUAUCUCAUAUAGUCUGCCUUUUUUUGUUAUGUAAAUUUUGUAAAUUAGUUCAUGUCUGUAAGCAUUAAGUCCCUGUUUGUUAUGCAUUCAGAUGCUGCAUGUACUUCACCACCCUCUGACAACACAAACAGUUCUUCAGUGAAAAAGAUUAUGAAUGGCUCUGGAGACCAUUCUAGAGGGGUGAAUCUUGGUUCUAAAGGAAAUGGAGGUACUGUAAUGUAAAUUAUUGGAAGAUUAUCAGGUGGCAAUUAAAUAUUUAAGACAUUUUUUUGAUUAAGAAUGAUGUUGAUUUCAGGUUUAAAUGUGAUAUAUCCUUGUGACCUGAUUCCAUUUACAAGAAGACCACUUUUCCUUGUUAUUGAUAGUGAGAAAAGUAACGCUUUUAAGGUAAGUUUAUAUUCUUUUAAGACUUUAAGAAGAUAAAUGUUCCAAUUGGAUGGAUGAAGUCUCACCUAGUCACUUGUCAAUAUCUACCCAAUGAGAUCAUUGUGCUUUCAAAUUUUUUUUUUGUUAUUAGGACAUUACGAUUAGAAAAAUCUACCAAAUCAUAGCAGUGAAACCUGUUUUGUAUUAGAAUGAUAAUGCUAUGAAUAUAAUUGGUAGAUUUUUCAAAAUAAUACGCUGUAAUAAGGAAGAAAUGAAAAUAGGAUGCUAUAAUAAACAAAUCACUAAAAGUACAUUGCUAUAUCUCGCAUAUAGACAGAAUGAAUUGUCUGAACAAGAGUAAAUGACGAUGUUACCCUUAUGUCCAGAGUCAUGUAUGUUCCGUAUCAAAAUGAUUACUUUCAGUUUUUGCAUAUUUUGACAGAGUUUGGAAAGAGAAGUAAACGGAGAGGCAGUUGCAAUGCUCCUAUCUCCAGCCUCUUCAAUUGGUGACCCAAAUGGAAGUCGUCAAUUCACAACCUUUCUCACAGCUCCACUGCAGGCUUUUCUUAUCUUAAUUGGCUUUUCGGGUCCCGACAUCCAGACAGUAUGCCCCUCUCUAUCUCUCUACAAAAUACAUAAUUACCAAUCUGUCCUUGUUGGCUGCUAAAAUAGAAAUUUUAUUCUCAGGAUAAACUCAAUGAGGCUGAAAGGGUUCUUUCUUUGGCUUUAAAUCACUGGGGAGAUACUUUGGCUUUAAACCUUGCGGUAUCUCCAGACUCGCUUCAUCCCGUGUGGGCCCAAAUUUUAAAUGAUCCGUUUCUCAGAAGGUUGCUUUUAAGGUAACUCCUUAGUCCUUACCAAUUAAUGAGAUAUACAAGGCAAAAUAUUUUAAAGCACGUCUACUUUCAUUAUUUUAUCAAUUUCACCACUUAACUAUUUUGUGUUGUGACUAAACCGGUAUACUUGGUACUUUUUUGACUAUUUAGAAAAGCACAACAUACUUUCACCAUUUUAUGGAUUUAGGCGCUCAUAUGAUAAAAAUAAUAAAAAAGAGUAUUUGUGGUUAUAUUUUUGUAAAAAAGGUUUGGUGUGUCAGGUUCAUAUUUUGUCGGGCAGUGCUAUCGCUAUACACUCCCACAUCCAACAAAAAGGAAUAUCUGCCCGACUGCUCACCCGCCCUACCAAACUCCGUGUCCCCAACACACGGCGCAUACAAAGAAGCAGUUCAUAAAAUAGCCGAUAUUUUCGGUGUAGCACCCAUGUUCAACCUUCCCGAACCUCUUCAACCUAAACCACCCGAUGUGUAGAAAAAUUACCAAACUUUUAUACUUUAUAGUGAUGUUCUUUGUGUCUAACCCUUGUGGAUUUCUAGUCUUUUUUUUUUUUUUUUACAUCAAUAUUUUGAAGAGUUUGGGUGUAUAGGAAUUUAAAUGCCAAUUUCCAAAUGUUGGGGGGUAUUGUUCAUUUUGCUCAUAGCAUCAUCAUUCUUAUAUGUACAAUACAAGGUGGCAACCGCAGAAACUAGAAGGCUAUUAAUAAUUGGAAAACUUUGUUUUUUAUUUUUUUUAAUCUCUAAACCAACAUAAAAACAUAUAUUAUUUAAGCAUGCAAUUACCAAAGUCGCUUAAUGUUACCUGCGCUAGUCCCUUACCUUUUCUCUCGUUUCAUAAUCUAUCCAUAAGUGAAUGAUAAAUUGGGUGUGUAUUUUUUCAUUUGCAUAUAUUUUUAUUUGGGUUUUAAUAUGGUGCUAUUAUUUAUUUUUUCUUAUUUGUUGUUAUCGUUGAUUUUUGAAAUUUAAAAUGAAAAAAUGGGGAAAUGAACAACUCAUACUAUUCUAGUCAUAAGGUUUUUUUUUUUUUUUUUUUUUUUUAAUUCCUUAUUACUUACUACAUAUUUUUAUACUGUUAGCAUUGACUUUGCAUCUAAAAAUGCUAAAAAAAAAUAUAUAUUUUUCAGAUUAUUGAAUGGCUACUAAAUUGGGGUCUUUGAAGGGCGUUAUGUUUCUUCUCGUCCCUGCCCGAUUGAAAACGAAUAAACUACCCGCCCCAUGGCCACCCACUUUCUUGCUAGUCAUCACUUUAUUCCAAUGCACCUAAUGUAGUUAUUGUUCACCUAAAUCCUAAAAUCCAAUUGAAGUAUUAUUUUAUUCCGAAAAAUAAAAUUUAAAUAAAAGAGUUUUAGUGAAGAAGGGUGUAAUCGACAUUAUAAAUUGUUUUUAGAGGUCUAAAGUGUGCUUUCGGGGUUUGUGGUGUAAAGAAUAAUUGAGCAUACGUGGCUAAAGAAAAAUCAUUUGGACUUGUUUUUGUAGCUUUUGGACUUAAAUUGAAAAGAUUUUGGAAGCUGGGGGUUGAAUGGUAAUUUAUAGAUUUAUGUUGAAAAUAAUUCGGAAAGGAGGGACCAUAAGUGUAUUUUUGACAUUAGAGUUUGAUUUGGAGACGGGGCUUAAACCCGUCCCCUUCCUUUCUUUCUUCCCAUUCUACAUGUAAACCCUAACCCUAGGAAAGUUUCCAGCCGCCACCCUUAUCUCCCUUCCCUUCCAGCCGGCGCCGCCACCCCUGCUGUUGAAGUCGCGAACCGCCAACCAAUGUCACCGCAGUUGCUGCCAACGAAGCCAAGGACUGCUGAAGGCCGACGUCGUGGCUAUGUUGCUGUCGUUCUCGGACGCGCAUCCUACCUUCUUCUGUUUCGUCGUCGAUCUCGCCAUAGGUACCACCAAGGGGUUACGUCGUUGCCGUUAAAGCCGACCGUUAGCGGCACUGCUGCCACUAUUUUGUGUCACUGCCCGUUCGUCACUCUUCUGGCCGUCGUCCUUCUCCAGGUGCGAAGCGCAGCUUCAUGGUGGGAGUUUUAGUGUGCGUGUGUGUGUUUGUUGGCCAGAAACUGAAAGGGAACCACCAUGGCGGCCGACCAUGGUGGUUGUCACCUCCUACCACCGUUCUACCACCACCAGCCGCCACAUUAGGUGGUUAUGUGCAUCUAUGUGUUGUAUGGAUGUUUUGUGUGUUCCGGGUUGCUUUCAUAAAGUUUGGGUUAAAAAUUAUAAGCUACCACCAUUAAAAAAUGGUGGUUUCUGCCUCCUGCCGUCAUAGACCGCCGUCGAUCACCAUCGCCCGAGGUGGCAGUGGGUCAUGUCCGACCUAUUAAAACUCUAAUUAACCUAAAAAAUUAACCUUGGACCUAGUUGGUAUGUGUUUGGGUUGGAAACCCUAGUUAGGGUUUAGAAAACCCUAGAUUUGGAGACUUUAGUUGGGACUUGUCGAGACCCGUCUUUUGGACCGUUGGAUUUGAGUUAUGAAUUAUGCAUGACCACAUUAUAUGAUUGACCUAGUAGAGUGAUGGACUUGAUGGAUUAAGUCUUUAAUGGGUUAAGUGUUUUACUUAACCCUAAUCGUUAUUUUAUGUGAAAACCCUAAUUGUGUUUGGGCUCGAGUUGGGCCUUUUCUUUUAGGCUCAGGUGUUUGGGUUCUUGAUGGGCCAUCUGGGAGUAAGUGUAUGGACUAGGAUAUUUGAAUGGGCUUUAGGGUAAAGCCCAUGUAAGGGGUUUGGGACCAAUUUGGAAAAUUGGGCCAUAGUUGGGCCUUGGUUUAUUAUUUGGCUUUUAGGCGUGGGUUUGGGCCUUGGUCUUGGGCCAAUCUAGGUAAGGGGUAAAAUGGUUUGUGUACCCCAAGUGUGGAUUUAUGGUUAUGCAUUGGAACCCAAUUAUUAAUUGGGUGUCGUUUUGAUGUUGACAGUUCGGGGAUCUGUCAGCUAACAGCCAAAGUUUUAUCCACGGGACUUCAGCAGUGCGAGACGAGUCUCUUCACUGGGUUUAGUGGGUCGUAGACACCAAAUUUGGCCCAUGAUUUAUAUGUUAGGAUGCUAGAUGUCUGUGUGACUCUUGCAUGUGUUGUAGGAUGGUAUGCUUAUCGGGCAAGGCCCGAUACCAGGCGGGGCUUGAUAAGUAGAUUGUAUGCUAGUUAUUAGUAUCUGAUUUUAUGCUUACUAGGCGAAGCUUGAUGUCGGGCGGGGCCCGAUGACUGUAUGAUGUGCUAUAGUCUUUGUGAUUAUUGCAUGUGCUAGUAUGGUUAUAUGUCUAUAUGAUUAUAUGGUUAUAUGGUAAUGUGUGUAUCGGGUGAGGCUCGAUGACAGUCGAGGCCCGAUAACUUGAACAUAUGCUAGUGUUUAUGAUCAUUUUAUGUGUUAGCAUGAUUAUGUGAUAUUUUGUAUAUGUCUGGAGGGCGAGGCUCAGUGAUAGGCGAGGCCUGAGAAUAACAAAUCUGUAAUCUGAGCGCAGCACGAUGCCGAGCCAAACUCGAUGUCGGGGGAGGCCCGAGAUCGAGUGAGACUCGAGAUCGGGCAAGGCAUGAUGGAGGGCAGGGGCCCAAUAUGUGAUUUAUGUAUGCGUGGUAUGUGAUAUCUUGGGGAACUCACUAAGCUUUGUUGUUACGGUUUUAGUUUAUGUUCAGGUACUCCGAUUUCCAAAUGGAAGAGCUCGAGAUGGUUGCAGGGCACACACCACAUGUUUCAUCAAUUUGUGAUUUACUCUGAAUCGUUGAUGUUUUACUAAAGCUUUGAUAAUCAUGGUUUAUGAAAUUGAUAUGUAUUAACGAUUUAUUAAUUUAGAAACAAAAUUUUAUGUCAUUAUUUUUGGGACGUUACAGGUUGGUAUCAGAGCCUUGGUUUGAGGGAUUCGGGCACACUCUCGGGUGUGUCUAAACUCAAACUGAGGAUUUGGUAAAGUUUUUCAAAAAAGGAAUAUAUUUUGAAUGAGAUUUUUUUAAAAGAAGAAAUGGUGUGGUGCAUGUAAUCAACCGAGCUCAAGUAAGUUUUCCCAAAAUACCCAUAUAUGUUAUCUGUUAUGAUUUGAUUUAUGAAUCUUUGAAUCGCAUGCUAGUUAGGGCUAAGGAUCUACUUAGUUUCUGCAUGAUAGAAUACUUGGAGAGAUGCCUUGUUUGCCUAUUUUAUGAGCUUGUAGACUUGCAUGCCAGUGAUAGGUUUGCUUGUUAUGUGAUGUCUGGUAGCCUAGGAAGUAUGGGAUGCUAGAUUGGGUUCGAUUUGGAUGCGUGGACAGUCAGUAGCGGGAGUGGGAGCUCCUUAUAUGAGUUGUAGUAUGUGGGAUUGGAGUGUACUGCACGAAUGUUGUUUGCUUUGUGCUUUUUGGAACUCUUAAGUGAUGGGAGUUAACUACUAAGUGAAUAUGUCAAGUCACAUGUGACAAAGGUUGAAUAAUCUCAGAGUGAUGGAUUUGACCCUAUUGUCCAGCUCUUGUCUCAGUCCAACCGUUGUAAGGAUGAGUCUGUUACACAAAGUAUUAUCUAAGCUUUGUUGAAUGUGAUUAUAUUCAUGAGGUUGGUGAUUGGCAUUAUGAGGAGUUCUUCAACAAAUGAUGGCAGGGUGAGGUCGGGAACCUAGAAAAGCUUAGGGAUUGCUUCAAUGGGAUUUGUUGUGCCGUUUAGCGAGUGUUGGUGUAUAGAUUUGAGAAGGUGACUUAGAGGAUCCGAGAGGAUUCUUGAGGAAAGUAUGGAUAGGUGUGGAAGGUAGUGUUGGGCCUGUACUACUAAAAGCACAGGAUCCAUACUUGAAUCGGGGAGAGUCUUGGAGUAUCUAGGAAUCCUGUGGGAUAAAGAUUCUUGGGAAUAUUCAGAUCUUUUGCAUGUUGUUUUCUUUUUAGUGUUGAGCACUCAGAAAUGGGGAUUCAGAUUCUGAUUUCGGUUCAGGAGUAGAUACUGAGUCGAUUGAUGCGCGAAUGUGGGAGUUUAUCUCAUCGGAGGUUACCCGCGGUAUUUUGGAAUGGACCCCGGUGGUCUUUGGUUCGAUCAAGAUAGGGAAUUUGGAUGUAACAUCCAUAAAAUUCAUAAAAAUUUAAAACUUUUUCGAACAUCCAAAAACCAUUAUUUAUUACAAAAUGUUUUCAAAAUAGUUUCAUAUAAGAGGAUCCCAUAAAUCAAAUCAUAAAAAUGCAAGGAGGUGCACGAUCACGCCUUCGCCUUCACGCGAUCAUUCGAAGUACCUAAAACAAAAUCCAAAAGUGUAAGGCCGAAGCUUAGUGAGUUCCCCCAAAAUACCAAUGCCAUACAAACCAUAACCAUAUCAUAGCAAACCUCAUGCAUAUAGAGUAUGCAGUAUGACUGGACCGCCCUCAACGGGCCUUCAGUCUAUUUGGCCCACUCUCAGAACCUUCAGCAUGUCUGGUCCACCCUACCGGGCCUUCAGCCUGUCUAGACCGUUCUCUGGGCCUUCGGCCUGACUGAUAUGCCCCAUUUGUCCUGCGGUCUAUCCGGGCCGACCUGGGUAUGUUAGCCUACAACACAAAGCAGGUCCGCCUCAAUCCACCCCCAAGCAUACAAUCAACACAUAGAUAACAAUGCUAGCAUGUACAAACAAUCAAACCGAUUUAACAGAUCACUAAUCAUAACAUAAUCCGAUAUACCGGGAUACCGACCUAACAGGUCACUAAGCAUAUCAUCAUGCAAUAACCAUGAUAACAAUCCAAAAAGAAGGGCCGACAUUGGUGCCUUCGACCCUGUCAGUAUAGUGAGGAAAACUCACCUCAUAAUGUCGAUCGGAACUGAAAUAUCAAACUCCCGAAACACGGAUCCAAACACCGACACCUAUAACCACCAUUGAUCCAAUUCCAUAAAUUCCCAAAUUACCAAAAUACCCUUAAAAGUCAAACUGGUCAACCCUUGGUCAAAUUCAAAGUCAACAGUCAAGGUCAACAGUUAAUGUUGACUCAACUCAUCGAGUGCAGUUUACAGACUCGUCGAGUUCCUUCAGAACUCAGAACGUCGCAAAAACUCUAGUCAACUCGCUGAGUUACCAAGUAACUCGUCGAGUCCAUGCAUUAUCCAGAAUAUCGGGAAAAACCCUAACCAACUUGUCGAGUCAUCUCAUUAACUCGCUGAGUUCAUGUAGAAUCCAGAAAGCGGGAAACCCUUAUCCAACUCGUCGAGUUGGCUAUGCAACUCGUCGAGUUCCUUCUGCCCUUUUCUCAUUUAGACGCUUUUAAGCGAAACCAAGGCUCCAAACUGUAGAUCUAGGCUCCUAGGGAGUAGUUAUCAUGUAAAGUUGCUAACUUUACGUGCAUGCAAGGCUUCAAGAAGCUAAAACACUCAAAAAUAGCCUUAGGAAGAGGUUUAGGUCAUGGAAAAGGGCUAGGGCUAGGGCUAGAGAAAGUCGAGAACUUUAUGUUCACGAGGGCCUAAAGGAGUCUAGAUCUGAGACCACGUUCUCAUGACAAGUUCAAACCCUAGAAUGACCCCCUUUUGCACCAAAAAUGCCCAUAUACUAACAUAAAAAGAGAUCUAAGAAAUGGAAAGCCAAGGUAAAGACUUUUUACCUUCAACUGGAUGCCAACACGAUGUAGAUACUGGAUCUACAAGCUUCUUCUCGUUCCAAGCCUCUAAAUCUUCAAGCCUCUUCAAGAAAUGCACCAAACACACACUUCUAGCCUCACACACAUUCAAAAUAGGGUUAGAUCGAUUAGGGUUUGCUUCUAGCCACGAAAAGUGGCAAGGGUGGCUAAGGGAAAGGACUUAAGGUCCUUUAAAUAGGGUGCAAACCCUAAAAAUCAGGGUUUUCAUGCACAACCUCUACUCGCCGAGUUGGGGUCCUCCAACUCGUUGAGUAGGUUCCAUAAACCACGCAGCCGGAUCAGUUUCUACAUGAUGAGUUGGCGCAGCCAAAUCGUCGAGUAGGUCUAUGAUUAUGAAUAUAAAGCUUUAAAAUUUAUACAUGGGAGUCGGGGUGUUACAUUGGAGUUCUUGGAUGGUUGGGGUAACUCAGGAGGAGGAGGUCAGGAUUCCUUCAGAUGUUUUGCGGGUAUGUAAUAUCUGCUUCUUUAAAGUGGAUAUCGAGAAUUUGUAUUACUUUGGAGUUUUGAUUGGGUUUGAACAAGUUAUAUUUCGGGUCGGUUCUCUGCUAUUGUCUGGGUCAUCAAGGAUUGUUAUAUGCCAUUCUGCAUACUAAGAAGUCUUCGAUGAGUCUUCAGAUGGUUGUAUUUCGUGGAGUAGGUUCUGCAUGUUCCAUUGUUGUUCUGGGUAUUUGUCGGGAUUAGUUCAGGAGUAUUGCUUGGAGGAUCUUUGGUUAGGGUUAGCGUGAUAAUUCUUCAGCGAAGUCAGGGUUCAGUGGUUCUAUCAUCUGUUCGGGUAUGAUCGGCAGUUGCCUAUGGAAGAACUUUGGAGUCCAAGGCACUACCGUUGCUAGGAAAGGAACGGUAGUAGGAAGAUGGUGGUGUCAGUUGCAUGAAUUGUUUGAUCAUUGGAUGUGUCAAGGGACUUGUAUUUUCGCAUGGAAUGAAGUUGGUUAGAGUUCAAUGAUUCCUUAAGGAUGGAAAUUAGAAUGGAGGUUCGUCAGUGCAUGGAAAGGGUUAUGGUUCUUAGUCGCUGACAUAAGAACUCAAGGAAUUGGUAUAGUAUCAUGGGAGGUGAUUUGGAUCAUUAGACUAGUUAAGGCCUCAAGAAUAUUCUUCCGGACUCUAGGAGUUGGGCAAUCAUUGAGAUUGGCUAGUAAUGGAACGCUAGUUUUGGUAAGCGCAGGUCAUAGGCGGUUCAUGCUAUAUGAAGUUCAAGGGGUUGGGAAUCCAUCAGACUUAUGGGAUGAAAGAGUUUCGUUGAAUCCAAGUGCGGGAGAAUCAAUAAGAAUUUCCGGUAGUUGGAUCGGGUGUGGAACUAGGGCAAGUUUUGAUGGGUUUUGAGCACUACAACAUUCUUAUGGUGUACAUGCAACCUUAAUGCUUUGGAUCUAGGUUUUUCUCAUGUUAUACAUGCAAAGCAUAAACCCUAAUCUAGCAUACAAUUUUCGAACUUGAUAACUUAAACAUAGUUAGAAGAAUACCUUUUCUUGUAGCUUGUUUAUCUUGACCUUCAAGAGCUUAGUGCCUCAAUUGUUGCACCUCUAAUGAAAUCACAAACACCACUAGCAAUUGGAUGAACACAAGAGAGAUGAUGAAGGCUUAGUAUUUUCAGCUAGGGUUUCUUCUAGAGAUCAAGUGGUCGAGAACCCUAUGCCAAGGGGCCUUUAUAUAGUUGUGCUGCUAAGGUUUAAGACUGAAACCCUAAUUCUCUGCUUAGGCCUUAAGCAAUCUAUGGAAACCAUCUAGAAGGCCCUUUGGACGAAUUCUUCUAUGGUAUUCCCAUAGAAUUCGUCCACCCCUUCUAUUAGGAGUCCACAACCCAACUUACAACUAACAGUAAAUUGCAAUAUCAGUCCCCAUACAUUUAAAAGUCUCAAUUGAUAUAUUAUUCUUAUAAUAUAUUAAUAAAUCAUUUAUCAACCUCUUUCUUAUAAUUCAUCCUGUCAAGUUGCUAUGGUGAAUGAAACCCAAAAGGACCAUGCUACUAUCGGGUCAAGUAUAUACCAAUUAUAGUUAUGGGCUUAGACACCUAAUCCAACAAGUUUCGCAUCCAGGUCAAGAAUAGAGACAACCCAAGUGGUCGUUUAGACUGAAUUUAUGUAAGUGGGAGUUCAGGGAACUCCUAGUAGCCAGUCGACAUCUUCUUGUUAUGCAUAACAAGUUUGUGGAUGGAUUCAGAUCGAGGGACGUGUUAGAACCUCGCUGCCUGUUAUUUUAUGAUGAGGGUUUCAAAAUUCAAAGUAUAACCCGAACACCUAGUUGGAUAUGGGAUGUCAACUCAGGUGCAUGGGGUUGUGAUGGUUAUAGUGUGGUAAGGCCAUGGGGUGGUAACCAUGGUUGAUUUGAAGUGUUGUAAGACUGCGAUAGGAUCGUAGCAUUCAUCAGUCGAGGUAGACCCUCAUUAGAGGUGGUCAUGAGCAUAAAGGAGGAAUCAAUUCGUGCCUUGGGCACAUCGUCCAGGUUUGACAAGGGGUAUUUCUCUGUUUUGGGUUGAGGACCAUUGGGGCCUAUAGCGGAGUCGGGCCUGUAUAGCUCUUGGCGGGUGGGAUCCGUGAGCGAGGCAGCUCCGUGGUAUAGUUGGGUGGGACCCGUGGGCGAGGCUUGUAUGAUUUUGGCAAUACAGGUUGGACCUGGUUGAGACCCUUGGGUCAAGGAUUUGGAUCUUGAGUCACAUGAUCAGGUGGGUGGUUAGUAUGUGACAUAGAGAGGUUUAUAGGUUGGAUAACCUUGUUAUUUGGACUCUUGGGAACCUUAUGGUUGGACCAGGUGCGAGACUGAUAGUCUCAAUGUUGGUUUGGGAACCUUUAUACCCCAGUCUAGCAAGGGUUGGUGUUAUCAGAAGGUCUUGGGUGUAAUGCAAGUGUAAAUCUGUGGAUCUUGGGUUAUGAGACGAGUAGCGGGUUGGUUUCUGGGUAAGAUUUUGAGUCGGGUACCACGAAUGUUUUGUGUAGAAUAUCUAUUUCCGUGGGUCAAAGAUCAGGGUAUCUAUAUUCUGAAGGCAACAAUCGAAGGGUACAAGGGUAACGAAGGAAUUCAGUCUUGAUGAUAGGUCAGCUUUGGUGUUUGUGCUUUGGAUUGGUUCUAUUUGUGAAGGGCAUCAAGAUAAGUCGAGGCGGUAUUUUUGAUUUGGAACUCGAGUGUGGAGUAGCUUGUUAUUCUGAGGGAUGUUAGGUCACUACAGAUGGUUUAGAUAAUCUCAGAGUAAAUGACUUGAUCCUAUUGCGCAACUCUCAUCCGAGUCUACCCGUUGUAGGGAUGAGUCUCAUACUCGAAGGAUUAUCUAAGCCUUGGUCCAGUAUAAGUGUUCUGCAGGGAUAAUUGGUCGGUGAUUCUAUUUCUAAUGGGAAUAUCAAAUAUCAGGAGUUGAGUAGUCAGUUGGGAAAUUAAUGGGAUGGUUUCAACAUUGGUUCAAUAUGGGCGGUCUGUAAUGGAGUCAGACCUUCUCGGAAUUUUAUAUAUAAGGAUUGAGCAGUUGUGGUUUAUUAACAAGGGAUUAUUGUCGGAUGGUGAAGGGAAUUCGUUCAUCUACGGGUUGGAGAGCCCUGUGAGAGUUGGUUUCGGUUGCCUUGAGAAGCUUGUGGUAUGGUAUGCUCGGGACUGUGGUUGUGUUACUCAGGCUGUUUGGCGUGUCGGGGAUGGUAAGGAACGAUUUCGAGGAAAAAAAUCUAAUUUAAGUGGGGGAGAGUUGUAACACAUCGUUUCGAAAAUAAACCCAAAAAUCCGAGAAUGUAUUUUAAGUAUUAUUUUAUUCCGAUAAAUAAAAUAUAAAUAAAAGAGUUUUAGUGAAGAAGGGUGUAAUUGGCAUUAUAAAUUGUUUUGGAGGUCUAAAGGGUGCUUUCAGGGUUUGUGGUGUAAAGAAUAAUUGAGCAAUGGCUAAAGAAAAAUCAUUUGGACUUGUUUUGUAGCUUUUGUGCUUAAACUGAAAAGAUUUUGGAAGCUGGGGGCUGAAUGGUAAUUUAUGGAUUUAAGUUGAAAAUAAUUCGGAGAGGAGGGACCCUAAGCAUAUUUUUGGCACUUGAGUUUGAUUUGGAGACGGGGCUUAAACCCAUCCCCUUCCUUUCUUUCUUCCCACUCUACAUUUAAACCCUAACCCUAGGAAAGUUUCCAACCGCCACCCUUAUCUCCCCUCACCUCCAGCUGGCGCCGCCACCCCCUCUGUUGAAGUCGCGAACCACCAACCAUUGCCACCGCGGUUGCUACCGACGAAGCCAAGGACUGCUGAAGGCCGAUGUCGUGGCUGUGUUGCUGCCGUUCUCGGAUGCACACCCUACCUUCUUCUGUUUCGCCGUCGGUCACGCCACCAGUACUGCCAAGGGAAAACGUCAUCGCCGCUAAAGCCGACCGUUAGCACCGCUGUUGCCACUGUUUUGUGUCACUGCCCGUUCGUCACUCUUCCGGCCGUCGUCCUUCUCCAGGUAUGAAGCACAGUUUCAUGGUGGGAGUUUUAGUGUGUGUGUUCGUUAGCCAGAAAUUGAAAGGGAACCACCAUGGUGGUUGCCACCGCCUACUACCGUUCUACCACCACCAGCCGCCACAUUGGGUGGAUAUGUGCGUAUAUGUGUUGUAUGGAUGUUUUGAGUGUUCCGGGUUGCUUUGAUAAAGUUUGGGUUAAAAAUUAUAAUCUACCACCAUUAAAAAGUGGUGGCUGCCGCCUCCUGCCGUCAUGGACCGUCGUCGACCACCACCGCCCGAGGUGGCAGUGGGUGGUGCCCGACCUAUUAAAACUCUAAUUAACCUAAAAACUUAACCUUGGAUCUAGUUGGCAUGUGUUUGGGUUGGAAACCCUAGAUUUAGAGACUUUAGUUGGGACUUGCCACCCACGUUUUGGACCGUUGGAUUUGAGUUAUGAAUUAUACCCGACUAUAUUGUAUGAUUGACCUAGUAGAGUGAUGGAGUUGAUGGAUUAAAUCCUCAAUGGGUUAAGUGUUUUUACUUAACCCUAAUUGUCAUUUUAUGUGAAAACCCUAAUUGUGUUUGGGCUUGAGUUGAGCAUUUUUUUUUGGGCUCAGGUGUUUGGGUUCUUGAUGGGCCAUCUGGGAACAUGUAUAUGGACUAGGAUAUUUGAAUGGGCGUUAGGGUAAGGUCCAUGUAAUGGGUUUGGGUCCAAUUUAGAAAAUUGGGCCAUAGUUGGGCUUUGGUUGUUUAUUUGACUUUUAGGCCUUCAGAGUGUGGGUUUGGGCCUUGGUAUUAGGCCAAGCUAGGUUAGGGGUAAAGUGGUAUAUGUAACCCAAUUUUGGAUUUAUGGUUAUGCAUUGGAACUCAAUUAUUAAUUAGGUGUUGUUUUGAUGUUGACAGUUCGGGGAUCUGUCAGCCAGCAGCUAGAGUUUUAUCCGUGGGACUUCAGCAGUGCGAGGUGAGUCUCCUCACUGGGUUUAGUGGGUCGAAGGCACUAAAGCUGGCCCAUGAUUAAUAUGUUAGGAUGCUAGAUGUAUGUGUGACUCUUUCAUGUGUUCUAGGAUGGUAUGCUUAUCGGGCGAGUCCCGAUACUAGGCGGGGCUUGAUGAGUAGAUUGUAUGCUAACUAUUAAUAUCUGAUUUUAUGCUUAUCAAGCAAGCCAGAUGCCGGGUGGGGCACGAUGACUGUAUGGUGUGCUAUAGUCUUUGUGAUUAUUGCAUGUGCUAGUAUGGUUAUAUGUCUAUGUGAUUAUAUGGUUAUAUGGUAAUGUGUGUAUCGGGUGAGGCUUGAUGACAGGCGAGGCCCGAUGACUGGAACAUAUGCUAUUGUUUAUGAUCAUUUUAUGUGUUAGCAUGAUUAUGUGAUAUUUUGUAUGUGUCUGGGGGGCGAGGCCAAGUGACAGGCGAGGCCUGAGAAUAACAUAUCUAUAAUCUGAGCAGGGCUCAAUGCCGAGCCAAGCUCGAUGUCGGGGGAGGCACGAGGCCGAGUGAGACUCGAGACCGGGCGAUCUGUGAUUUACUUUGAUUCAUUGAUGUUUUACUAAAGCUUUGAUAAUUAUGGUUUAUGAAAUUGAUAUGUAUUAACGAUUUAUUAAUUUAGAAACGAAAUUUUAUGUCAUUAUUUUUGGGACAUUACAACGCUGGGCGUACUUUUCAGUACGUUGCACGUAAUGGGUUUGCGUCCCGUAAGUUGGUUGUGAAGUGUAUGUGGGGCGUACUUUGGUGGUACGCAGGGUGUACCCGCUAGUUGGGCUUUUGGGCCUUUGGACUAGUUUGGGGUGAGUCUGCUCAUUCUGUUUGGCGGAUCGAAGGAAUCAACGUCGGCCCAUAGAUUAUUUUUACAAGAAUGUUAGCUGUUUGUGUGACUCUUGCAUGUAUUUAAUGUGUUUCUAUGUAUGUCGGGGGAGGCCCGAUGCCAGGUGGAGCCUGAUGAGUGUGUUGGGCGGGGCUCAUCGCAUGUUACCGACAGAUCUGUACUGGGCGGGGGCCGAUGGAGGUCGGGCUGGGCCCGAUGAAUAACGGGCGAGGCCCAAUGCCGGACGGGGCCCCAAUGGAUGUAUGUUUGUAUGGUAUGUGUUAUUUUAGGGAACUCACUAAGAUUCGUGCUUACAAUUUUCACUUUACAUAUCAACUACUUUCAGAUCGAAGGGGAAGAGCUCGAGAUGAUCGCAUCGCACACACCAUGACUUUCUGCUUUACCGACUUUGACGUAUUUGUAUAAUUAUGGAUACCUUAUGAUUUUCUUAUGGUUUUGAUAAACACAUUUGGUUGAUAUUUUAUUUAAUUUAAAAACAAAAAAAAUCGGUUCUGAAUUUUGGGGAUGUUACAAGUGGGUAGCAGAGCCUUGGUUUGAGGGAUUUGAUCAUACUCUCAGGUGUGUCUGAACUCAAACUGAGGGUUUGGUAGAUUUUUCAUAAAAAGAAAUGUUUUAUAAAAAGAUUUUUCUAAUAGAAGAAAGGGGUGUGGUGCAUGCAAUCGACCAGCUCAAGUAAGUUUUCCUAAGGUACCCAUACAUGAUUCGUGAUAUGCUUUGAAUUGUGAAUCUGUGAAUCGCAUGGUAGAUUAGGGCUAUGGAUCUGCUCAGGAUUGCAUCAUAUAAUGCUAGGAGAGAUUCAUUUAUAUGUCUACUGUAUGAGCUUGUAGACUUGCAUGCUAAUACCUGAGCAGUCAAUGAUAGGAUGGCUUGUUUAGGUUAUGCCUUUCUUCCGAUUACUUAAUACUCGAAUGCUUCUUGGUUUGUGCUUUUAGGAGUUCCCAUUAACAUUAACUAACUAGUAAUCGAUUACUCUAAGUUACAUAUUACUGAGAUAAGAUAAUUUUAAAAGGCUAGGUUUAACCCUAUUGCGCAACUAUUGUCUGAGUCCAACCAUUGUAGUGUGAGACCUUUCAUUGCAAUCAAAGGGGACAUUAGAAGGCCAACUGCUUGAGUUUAGCAGUGGGAGGACCAGUGGGAGGACCCGCUCUGGUGACCUUGCGGAUUACAGAUGGCCGUCAGGGCAAGGCAGAGGUGCCUGUUGUGAGGAGCAGGGCAUUCCAACUGACAGCCGGGGAGGCUCGUGCAACACCAGAUGUGGUGAUGGGUAUGUAUCUUGUCUUUGUCUCUUUAUUCAUUUAUUUUGAUUUUUCCUACUUAUAUCUGUGAUUUGUUUAUAGGGUCGUUCCUUAUGAACGAUAUCUCGGCUUUGGUUUUGAUUGAUUUGGGGGCUACCCGAUCCAUUGUAUCUCUUGCGCUCAACAAAAUAUUUGUUGAUGCUCUGGGGGAGCUGGAGUAUCCAUUUGAGUUCGAGAUUGAUGAUGAUCGUCCUGUGCGAGUAUCGAGGGUUCAUUGGGGAUGUAUGCUGGACUUGUUUAGUGAGCGGUAUUCGAUUAACUUGGUUCCCAUUACCCUGCGUGAGAGCAAGGUUAUUGUAGGGAUGGAUUGGUUGAGCCCCAAUAAGGAAAUGAUUGAUUGCGAGCAUUAGUUAGUCCAUAUUCGGACCCUAAGCGGGGGAGAUUUAGUGACUCAAGGAGAGGGUGUUCAACAUGGGUCGACUCUCUGUUCAACAGUUAGGGCCAUGUGUUACCUUCAACAAGGUUGUUCUAGAUUUGUUGUUUAUGUGAUGGAUACCAGUGAGAAGGGUAAGAUGACUAUGGACGAUGUAUCGAUUGUCCAGGAAUACUUGGAUGUGUUCCUUGAGGAGUUGUCGGGUGUGCCUCCAGAGAGGCAUGUGGAGUUUCGGAUUGACUUGGUUCCUGGUGCGGCCCGGAUAGCCAAAGCACCUUAUCGGUUAGCACCCCAGGGAUGCAUGAAUUUUCUACCCAACUACAAGAGCUAUUAGACAAGGGAUUUAUUCAGCCAAGCAUUUCACCAUGGGGAGUUCCGAUCUUGUUUGUGAAGAAGAAGGACAGGUCGCAUCGGAUGUGUAUCGACAACUGGGAGCUGAAUAAGCUAACAAUGAAGAACUGUUAUCCACUCCCGAGGAUUGACGAUUUAUUUGACUAGCUUUAGGGUGCAUAUUGGUUCUCAAAGAUUGAUAUGCGUUUAGGUUAUCAUCAGAUGAGGGUCAGAGAUGAGGAUAUGUAUAAGAUGGCCUUCCAGACUCAUUAUGGUCAUUACGUGUUCGUGGUGAUGCUCUCCGGGCUCACAAAUGCUCCAGCCGCAUUCAAGGAUCUCAUGAAUCUCGUAUGCAUGCCUACGUUGGAUGGGUCUGUGAUUGUGUUUAUUGACCACAUCCUAGUCUAUUCCAAGACCCAUGAGCAGUACGAGGAACAUCUAAGAAAGGUAUUGGAGAAUCUGAGGAGGGAAAGGUUGUAUGUGAAGUUCUCCAAGUGCGAGUUUUGGUUGCGCAAGGUGCAGUCUGGGACACCUCGUCAAGCAGUUAUGAGGUGGGAAGUUCUGAGGUCUCCACAUGAGAUUCAGAGUUUCCUAAGAUUAGCAGGUUACGAUCGUAUAUUCAUUUAGGAUUUAUCCAAGAUAGCAGUUCGUUGGCCUGAUUGAUGUAAGGAGUGUCACAUUUCAUUGGGGGCCUGAGCAACAGACAACUUUUGAGACUCUGAGGUAGAGAUUGUGUGAGACGCUGAUUCUGACCCUGCCGGAGGGUGUUGAGGACUUUCUGGUAUAUUGUGAUGAAUCAAUCACGGGGUUGGGUGCAAUUUUGAGGCUAUGGGGUGAUGUGAUCGCUUAAGCUUUGAGGAAACUAAAGCCUCAUAAGGAGAAUUAUCCUAUGUGUAAUUUGUAGUUGGGGGCUGUGGUUUUCGUCCUCAAGAUUUAGCGACAUUACCUUUAUGGGGUUUGUUGUACUAUUUGCAUGGACCAUAAGAGUCUAAGGUAUCUGAUGGAUCAACUGAAUCUGAACAUGAGGUAGCGUAGAUGGUUGGAUGUGGUGAAAAAUUAUGAUUGUGAGAUCCUUUAUCACCUGGGGAGGGCCAAAGUGGUGGCCGAUGCUCUUAGCCGCGAGGCAGUUGCUGCCUCGAUCAAGGAUUUGUUUCUAAGGUUGACAUUGAUUAACCAAAUUUUAGAGCAGAUUCGAGAGGCUUAGGUUGAGACUAUAAAGGAAGAGAACCGAAAGAAUGUGCACAUAGUAGGUCAGGUGGCUUCCUUUGAUUAUGAUACUUGGGGAUUAUUGACCCUUCAUCGGGGGAUGUGGGUUCUCUAUUAGGGUGGUGCGUGUCAGGUUCUAAUGGAGGAAGCGCACAAGUCAAGAUUCUCUAUUCAUCUCAUAGCGACAAAAAUGUAUUAAGAUCUACAUCCUGACUAUCAGCGACCUCAUGACAAGAUGGAGCCGUUGGAAGUCCCCGUUUGGAAAUGGGAAGAGAUUACAAUGGAUUUUAUCACCAAAUUGCCUAGAACGGCGCACAUAGUGGAUUCGAUAUGGAUCAUCGUGGAUCGAUUGACUAAGAGUGCGCAUUUUAUUCCGAUCGUGGAGAGUAUUUCGGCAGAGAAGCUGGCCGAUAUCUACAUUCGGGAGGUUGUGGCACGACAUGGGGUGCCGGUUUCUGUGGUCUCUGAUAGGGAUGUUCGGUUUACUUCCAGGUUCUAGAAGAGAUUUAACGAGGAGUUAGGUACUCAUUUGCAACUCAACAUGGUUUUCCACCCGCAGACUGAUGGUCAGAGUGAGUAGACUAUUCAGACAUUGGAGGAAAUGUUGCGGGCAUGUGUGCCGGAUUUUGGCGGUUGGGUUACGUAUCUUCCUUUGGCGGAAUUUUCGUACAACAACAGUUAUCACGCCAUCAUUUAUCAACCUCCUUUUUAGAUGCUCUACAAGAGGAAGUGUAGAACCCCGAUAUGUUGGGGUGAGGUUGGUCAACGGGUCAUGAGGAGUAUGGAAGUGGUACUCCAAAUGAUAGAAUUAAUUCAACAGGUCCGCGACAGACUUCAGACAUCACAAAGCCGACAGAAGAGCUACGCAUAUAGACUCCGGUUAGACUUAGAGUUUUAGGUUGGUUAUAUGGUACUCGUAAAGGUUUCACCUUAAAAUGGUGUCAUCCUAUUCAGGAGCGAUUUAAGUUAGGCCCCAAGUAUAUUAGUCCUUUCAGGGUGAUAGCCCGAGUGGGAUGGGUAUCGUAUCGAUUGGAUCUACAAAAGGAGCUCAGCCAGAUCUAUAGCGAUUUCCAUGUCUUUCGGCUGUGGAAAUGUUUGGUUGAUGAUUCCACAAUGGUCCCAUUGGAGGACAUUCAGGUGGAUGAUUGCCUGAAUUGUAUAGAGAGACCAGUGGUGAUCCUUGUUAGGAGGACGAAGAAUCUGCUUAACAAGGUUGUGGAUCUUGAGAAGGUGUAGUGGCAGCACCAAAAGGGUUCAAAAUGGAUGUGGGAGCCUAAGGAUGAGACAAGGGAGCAUUACCUAAAGUUAUUUACGGCAGCAGACUUCGAGGACGAAGUUUAAUUCAAGUGGGGGAGAAUUGUAAUACUUGGUUCCAAGGUAUUUCUUAUUUUGACCCGUGAUAUUAAAUUAGUUUUCAAAUUUGGUCCCAAGGGGUGAAAAGUGAAACUUUUAGGGAGGAGAGCAUACGUUGGGCGUACUUCUAGUAUUCGGGGCGUACAUUGUCCAGGGAUAAACCCUAAUUUUUAGGUUUUGGACCAUAUUUAAGCAUCAUUAUGGACUCAAGACCUUUCCCCUCGUCAACCUCAUUUCCUCCAAAGAUACCUCACGAAGCCCUAGCCAUCGUUGGUGUAUUCUUGAGCUAUUGGUUGAGUUUUGGUGUUCUUUUGGUGCAUUAGAAGAAGGAGAAUUUUGGUGUUAGUGCAUUGUUGGAUUUGGAGCCUCAAGAUCCAGGGAUAUCUUCUUCAUUUCAAGCUUUUGGAUGUAAAAAGUUCUUACCUUGAUGAUUCCUUUGUUGAGAUCUCAUUGUGGAUAGAUUUAGGAGCUUUUGGUCCCAUGACCUUGGUUCUUGGGAGUAUCGGCUACUCCAGAACCUUAGGGUGGCAUUUCCUUUUAGAUUUGAGGUCCUUGAAGUAUAAAAAUCGAAUCUUGGUGGUUUUAAUUCAACCAUGCAUGAGUUGUUGGCCUUUUUAAGGAGUUUUGGACCUAGGGUUUGGUAUUGGGUCCUUUUAAGCCAUGCAAGUUAGUAAAGUUGCCAACUACAUAUAUUAAAACGUUAUUUGGAAGUAGAUCUAAGGUUUGGAAAACAAAGUCUUAAGGGAUUAAGCCAUUUGAUUGAGACAAAGACCUCUGGCCAGUACACUGGGUGUACGUUUGAGUACAUUGCGCGUACUGGGUUUGAGUCCCGUAAGUUGGUCGUGAAGAGUACGAAGGGCGUAAUCUGGUGGUACACAUGGCGUACCUGCCAGCUGGUCUUUUGGGCCUUUGGACUAGUUUGGGCCAUUUUGGGGUUUUGGGCUAUCAUUAUUUAGGCCCAAUAAGGGAAGGGUAAAAUGGUCUUUUUGAUGGGUUUUAGGUAAAACAAAUAAACUAGAAUACAAUUCCUAAGUUCACAUGCAACCUGCUUUGGACCUAUGUUUUAGCUAUUGAACAUACAACUUUGAAUUGCAAAAUAAGAACCCUAGAGGAGAGAGGCUAUAAUCGAAAUUUACAACCUAGGGUUUAGAAAUUACAUACCUUUCAAUUGUUAUAGUAAACAAUUGAUAAUUCCUUUGAUCUUGAUCUUGAUCUUCUUGGAAGCUUAGCACCACAAGUGUAAUGCCUCUAAUGGAAUCACACCCAAACUAGCAAGAAGGAAAUUAGAAGAAGAGAGAGGGAGUAUGCAAUUUUCGGCCCUAAGGGUUUCUUCCAAAGAAAGAGUCACCAAAAUGUGAACCAGGAGGCUCCUUAUAUAGUUGAGGGAUCUAGGGUUUAGGAAAAACCCUAAUGCUCCUUGCUUAGGGCCUAAGCAAAGCCAAAGGCCUUAUCCAAGCCCCCUUGGACGAAAUCCUUAGGGUUUCCCCUAUAGAUUUCGUCCACCUCCUUCCAAGGAGGUUCUGGAGCCUUCCACUCAACUAUUAGAUAAUUGCAAACUAGUCCCUGCACUUUAUAAUUAAUUCUUUUAACCCCAAAAUUAAUUCUGAUUAAUUUCUGGCUAACAAUUAAUUAAACAAAAUGAUUUCUUAUUAAUAUAUUAAUCUUUUAACAUAUUAAUAAAUUCAUUUAUAUUAAUUUAUUAAUCUUAUAAUAAAUUAAUAUCUCUCCUUUCAUAAUUUCCUUGUCCGGUUGCUAGGUUUGAGGGCAACCCAAAAGGACUGUGCUGCUAUCAAUUCAAGUACAUACCAAUUAUAGUUAUGGGCUUAGACACCUAAUCCAACAGUCUCCCACUUGGAUAAGUCU
This 57973-nucleotide long non-coding RNA is filed under the name Lactuca sativa (garden lettuce). RNAcentral describes it as "long non-coding RNA (LSAT_LNC007009)". The record is from RNAcentral. Lineage: Eukaryota; Viridiplantae; Streptophyta; Magnoliopsida; Asterales; Asteraceae.